This 58188-nucleotide long non-coding RNA is filed under the name Ananas comosus (pineapple). RNAcentral describes it as "long non-coding RNA (ACOM_LNC020191)". Lineage: Eukaryota; Viridiplantae; Streptophyta; Magnoliopsida; Poales; Bromeliaceae. The record is from RNAcentral.
UUUUAUUAUUCGUUUGGUUCGGGUUAUAAGAACUAGUUAUUUUUGGGAUAGAUAUAAGUUCAGGUGUAAGCCGAAAAUAGAUCAAUUUUACAUUUGAAUGAAAAUUGAGUUAUUUCUGGGAAUAAAAAAAAAUAGCGUUUGAAUAAAUAAGAUAGAAUAAGAAGAAUAAUGAGCAGUUAUAAAUAGAAAAUAAACUCCUGUUGGCCACCUCGAUCCUUGGGGUCACUUUUUUCACCCCCAAUCCACUAGGAGUGCUGGGUGGCAGCCGGGGUGGGCUAUCUUUUGGGCUGUUUAGUGGGCCCCCACCGAGUAUCCGAGCCGGGCCCGCUUCGUUAUUUUUUUGUCAGGCCUUGAGAGCAAUCUUGAGUGCACCAUUGGCCCUUGAGUAGGGUUUCCUUUUCUCUUGUGACAGUUGGGCCUUUUCGGUCACACCUGCAGGGAAGGAUUCAACGGACGGGUGCCGCAUUACAGCAGAUUCUUAUUUUCUUCAGCAACUGCCACUCGGAGUUGUGGGAGCAGCCGCGACCAACUGCACUUUGCUCCCCUCUACUGAUCUGAUUGCUGGGGACUCGGUCUUUUCAGAUGCCUUCGGAUUUCAAUCGCCUUCCACCCCUGAUCUUCUGGUUAGCCCAAACUUUGAUCCGGUUCUGAGUGGGAUCCCAGCGUGUGUGUCUGAGCCGCAGAUACCGGGGGCAAUAGAGCCAGUGCCGUCAGGUAGUUCAAGAGCCUCUUCCCCAGCGAUGGUGCCAAGAACCUGUAAGCGACUCGCUGCAUACCGCAAGCGAUCAAUCCUACACAAGGCAAUGGAAAGGAAGAGCAUUCAGCGUGAGGGGGUUCAGGAGGUUGGGCGCAGAACUCCUGUGGAGAAGAUCACCUACAAGAGUCACCUCUGCGGGGUGGAUUUAGGAGAGAACGAGGCUAAGACCUUCUCCGCUUUUCUGAACGAAUGCAAAUAGGCAGGACGAGUAGGGUUUCUGUAGACUCUUUUUUUGGGUUUUGGUGGUGAGAGUCUAUCUGUUUUUUAUAUGUUUCGCGUCUGUAGCUGGAAUGUUAGGGGGCUCAACGACCCCUCUAAACGGUGUGCCGUUAGGGCCGUAGUGUCUAAACUUCAUAAUGCAGUAGUUUGUAUCCAGGAGUCGAAAGUUGAUCAUGUUUCGAGUUCCUUCCUUAGUAGUUUCGGGGGACCUUUGUUAAACAAAUGUGUUUUUCUUGAAGCCAACGGUGCCUCUGGGGGGAUUAUUACGAGUUGGAGUUCCCGUUUUUUCACUUGCUUGGAGGUCAUCGUAAGGACAUACUCCAUUACUACUCUGCUUUCCUCCACCACGGGCGGGUCUAAGUUUUUUCUCACGAACGUCUACGGACCCGCCUCUUGGGACGGCAAGGAAGAUUUCUUCGCCGAAUUGGUUCAGCUGAAAGAUCAUUGCGUGGGCAAGUGGAUCAUCUGCGGCGAUUUUAACUGUACGAGAGGUCAAGAGGAGCGAAGGGGAAAACUUUGGAGCACCAAAGCCACAAACUUAUUCAACGAGCUGAUCAGAGAGCUUGCCUUGAUUGACCCACCGAUGUCCAACCAAUCCUUCACUUGGUCCAACAUGCAAGCACUUCCAACGUGUACGCGGCUCGAUCGUUUCCUUGUCUCAACUGAAUGGGAUCAUGAGUUCCCCCUCUCCAGAGUUGAAGCACUUCCUCGAAUUACUUCAGACCAUUGCCCUAUCUUGCUAACUGUGGAAAAUUCUGCUAGGGUGAAUCACACGAUCUUCCGGUUCGAGGAGGCUUGGUUGAACCAUGAGGGUUUUACCUCUAAACUUCCGGAUUGGUGGAGGGAGGUUCCACUGAACACGCGGAAUACCCAGAAUAAAUCGGCAGUUUUAACCUUCACAGCGAAGCUGAGACACUGUCGCAUUAGGAUCAAGGAGUGGUGUGCUAAUGAAUUCUACAGUAUUAGAGGAGUUAAAAACCACCUAAUGGAAGAAAUACAGAAGAUUGAUAAAGCUGAGGAACUGGGUGAUUUUUCGAACAACUUAUGCUCUAUGAGAGCGGAACUUAAGGCUAAUCUAGGAAAAGUCUUGGACGACGAAGCUACACUUUGGAGAUCCCGGGCCAAACAGCACUGGCUGCGAGAGGGGGACAGUAAUACUAAGUUCUUCCACGCUGUAGCUAACGGCAGACGCAGAGCUAACUGGAUUGGCACGAUCGUCGAUAACGGUUCCACUUACCAAGCUGAAGAGGAUAAACGAAAUUAUUUUUACCAAUCCUUCAAGUCACUGUUCACUCCUAAGGUAUCGGCCCCACCUUCCUUUGGAAACUGGGACAGGUUAUUCCAAUCCGAUAGCAUUGCGACUCCUGAUUUAGCAAGGUUAUCCGAUCCCUUCAAUUUAGAGGAAAUCAAGAAAGCCGUUUUUCAACUGGGAAGCGACAAGGCGCCGGGACCGGAUGGUUUCCCUUUGAAGUUCUACCAAACGUUUUGGGACACUGUUAAGGAUGAUAUUUUGAGUAUCUUUCAGGAAAUGUACGAGGGAAGGCUCUCCACGGAUGCCAUCGACUACUCUUUCAUUUGCCUUAUUCCUAAGAACGAGGGGGCAGUGCGAGCAAAUGACUUUAGACCCAUAAGCUUGUUAAACGGGAUCCAAAAAAUUUUAUCUAAGGUUUUGACCAAUAGGCUAGACCAGGUUAUGAAGGAUCUGAUAUCCCCGUCUCAGUCUGCUUUCCUGAAAGGCAGGAACAUUACCGACGCUUUUGCAUCAGUUUCCGAACUUAUUGGAUGGGGUAGCAAAUUGUCCGUCGAAGGUGUCGGGAUAAAGGUUGAUUUUGAAAAGGCCUACGACAGGAUUUAUUGGCCAUUUCUUUUCCAAAUUCUACGGUGGUGGGGUUUCAAUGACAAGUGGUGUGAAUGGAUCGAAUCUUGCGUGUGCCACGCGAAAGUGGCAGUACUUGUUAACGGAGAGCCGACCAAAUGGAUAAAGACGAAGAGAGGCGUAAGACAAGGGGAUCCGAUUUCACCUUAUCUAUUCUUACUGGUGGCUGAGUGCCUGGCUCGUUUGACCAAUGAGGCGGCCUCUAACAGUCUCAUUAAAGGCCUCGGCCCGUCCGAGGGAUGUAGGGUCACUCUCACUCAAUUUGCGGACGAUACCUUUUUCUUCUGCGAAGCAAAAAGCAGGUACUUGAAAAAUCUCAGGUUUAUUUGGCGCCUCUUCGAGUGGGCCUCGGGAAUGAAAAUCAACAGGAAGAAGACGGAGCUUUACUAUCUGGGACAGGAGGUCGGUAAAGGAGCCAGAUUAGCAAACAUUUUGGAAUGCAGAGUGGGCACCCUCCCAACCAAUUAUUUGGGUCUACCGCUCUCUCCCAGAUCACCAUCCAAGGAGGCAUGGAUGGGGAUCAUACAAAAGAUACACCGCAGAAUAGAGGGCUGGCAGGCUAAACUACUAUCUAGGGGGGGUAGACUUAUCUUAGUUAACGCGGUACUAACCAACAUACCCCUAUACUCUCUUUCCGUGUUCAAGGCCCCCGCGUGGGUGAUUAAGCACAUCGAAGCCCUUAGAAGGGACUUCUUCUGGAAUGGUGGGCGCAGCACCCCGGGCAAAGGAUGCCUAGUGGCUUGGAAAAACGUUUGUAAGUCCAAAAAGGAAGGCGGGUUAGGUAUCUUGGAUGUUGCGACCAUGAAUCAAGCGUUAUUGACUAAAUGGUGGUGGAAAUUCCACAUUGCACCUGAACUACAGUGGAACAAGUUAAUCCGGGUUCUGUACUAUCGUAGAAGAAAACCACUGAGGGAAGGCAGAUACUUUAGACCUUUCUCUUGUUGGUGGAAAGGUAUCCUUACUUGCAGCACCAUCUUUAAAUGGGGUGCAACCUUUGAACUAGGAAACGGUAAAGCCAUCGACUUCUGGCAGGACAGGUGGUGUGGGGAGAAAACUUUGAACCUUCUGUUCCCAGAAGCUCAUCUCACAACUGAGGGGAAAAACUACAGAGUUAGCGACUAUUUCACGAGGGGUAGUUGGAAUUGGACCAAGAUACUGGGUGCCGAAGUGGGCCGUUUGCAAGGGCUGAUACCGAACCUCUCGGAGCUAGUGGAAAGGGUCUCCAACUUCUCUGUCGGACAUAGACCUGAUAAGAUCCUUUGGCGGUGGAGUUCAGACGGACAGUUUUCGGUCAAAUCGACUUAUUUGGCUUUGACGGACGGCGGGGUGAGAGACGCACGCGCCGCCACCAUCUGGAGUCUCAAAAUCCCCCUUAAAGUAAAAGUCUUUAUCUGGUUGGUCCUUAAGAAAAGAAUCCUGACACGCGAUAGACUUGCUAAGAGAUGGUGGAUCGAUGACCCCACCUGCGUGCUUUGCGGGUCGGACGAGGAAUCAGUGGACCAUCUGUUUACCCACUGUGUAUUCUGCAAAUUCAUCUUGGUGUUAGGGGACGACGAGAUCCAGGCCCAAGACCUGGGGGAUGAGGUGAAUCUUGUUUGGGAUAGGUGGACUGGCAAGAAAGACCCUCUUAAUAAGCGUACCAGACUUGCUGAACUAGCGGGAUGCUGGUGGGUGAUCUGGAAGGUCAGAAACGAUGUAAUAUUUCGGAAUAUUCCCCCUAACCCGGGGAUAGCGGUCCAUAGAUUCAAACUGCUUGUGAAGGAGUGGGAGCUUCUCCUCCGGUCAUAAUUUGUUUUUUUUUUUUUUUUUUUUCUCUCUCUGGGGCCGGGUUGCCUCACAUUUGUAGCUUAGUUCAUAUGAUCAAUGAAUGAAGCGGGUAGCAUGCUACCUCUUUCUCAAAAAAAAAAACAAACACAUCGACUACAUAGAUUAACAUUGUUUAAUUAGUUAUCAUGCCUUAAAGCAGACGCAAAUAAAAGAUCAACUAUACGGAGUUUUUACUACUAGUCUCGUAUGUAUUACUUCACUGGGGAUCAAUAAUCCAGUCCAAUGGAUCAUUUGUUUAUAGUCAGUUUUGCUAAAAAAAGACUUAGGUUUGUUAUCACAUAUAUAUAUAACUAGCAACUAACCCGUGCAAUGCACGGAUUUUAAAUUUAUCUUUUAAUUACAAUUUUUAUAUAAUAUAUAUUAAUUUUUACAUAUUAANUUAAAAUUUAAAUAUAUAUCUUUAAAAAUUAAAAAAAUUAAAAUAAAAUUUUAAAUUUUAAAUCUCAAAUUCAAAAAUUUAAAGUUCUAAAUUUUAAAUUUAAGAUUAAAUUUAAAUUUAAAAAUAUCAAAUAUCAAAUUUUAAAUUUCAAAAAUUAAAAAUAAUAAUUUAUAAUUUAUAAAUAUAUUAAUUAAGAUUAUAAAUUCUUUAAUUUAAAAAAUUAAAAUUUAAAAUUUAAAAUUUUAAUUAUAAAUUUAAAUUUAAAAAUUAAAUUGGGGUGGGAUUAGUUAACCCCACCUGGCCAAUUCCAGGGGGAGGUGGGGUUUGUUAACCACACCCCUAACGGGUUAUUCCGGAAUAACCCGUUAGGGAUGGGGUUAACAAAUUCCACUCAUUGAAAAAGGUGUUUGGGGAUUAAGAGGGGAAUAACUCCUUAAACCCCCUCCUGACCCUCAACCAAACACCACCUGAGUCCAAUUUUUACCACUCACAUGUAGGAAUGUUACUUUUUCACUGCAUGAGUGAUAAUUGUAAAGUGAUUGAGACACCAAAAAAAUAAUAAUAAUAAUAAUAAUAAUAAUGUUGGAGUUGUUUGUUUCAAACAAAAUGAUAAGAUCUGUUAUUAUCAGCCUCUUUUUGCAAAGUAAAAGAAGAGAUUGAUGAAAACCUUUUGAUGCAGACCCUUUUCACCUGCUUCUAAAAACUCCUGAUGAUGCACAGAUUGUUACGUGUAUUAUAUAUCGACAUGUAAGUACAUUAAUAAAAACUUCAAAUACCAUCUCUGUGAUUUUGCAUUUUCUCACUUUAGUAUCCUGUGGUUUAAAGUGUAUCGAUUUAGUACUCCGUGGUUUUAUUUUUUCUUUUUUAUUAUCUCCUUCACUAAUUUUUUUUUUAUUAAAUCAGUGACAAAGUUAAAACUAAAAGAGACUAAAGUAAAUAUUCGAUAAAUUUAGAUUGGGUAUGAAAAGUUUUUUUUGUAUAUAAUUUAACGAAAUAUUAACAGAGGAGUUGAUGAAAAGAAAAAAAUGAAAUCACAGGAUACUAAAUUGAUACACUUUAAAUCAUAUGGUACUAAAAUGAGAAAGUGCGAAACCACAGGUAUGGUAUUUGAAGUUUAUCCUAAAUUUUUAGUAGUAAAAAAAAAGAUAAGACAAGUGACAAAAUAUGAGCCACGGAAGGAUUAAGAUAUAAAAUUUAUAGGGAUGAAAAUGGUGUCGAUUUUUUGACGAAACCAUGUCCGCAUCUGUAUCUUUCUUCGGGUGCAAAAAUGUGUCGUAUGCCAAAUCUUCGAUACUAUAUCCGCUUAAAACGGAUUUGAAUUCAGAAUGAAUCGAAUUCGUAUUCAAAUACAAAUAUUAUUCCGAUAAUAAUAUAUACUAAUAAGCAUUUAUAAAUAUGAACUAAAAUUGGCAUAAAUAAAACACAUAAUUGCAUUAAAACUUUAUAUUUGUAUUCAAACUUCAUAUGCCUAUAUCUUAUUCAAUAAAUUAAAUAUUUUAAAAAAAUGUAAAUGUAUUUUUUAAUAUGAAGUUCAUUGUAAGGUAAAGGAAAAAUAAGAUAAAAAAUUACCUUAUUUUCCUACAAUAUAUAUUAACAUCUUUCUUAUCUUUUAAGAAUGAAAACGGUCAAAUAUGAUCAAAUUUUUUAGAAAAUCAUAUUUGAAUCAACUUUUAAAAUUUUUUUAAAUAUAAAUUUGAAUACGAAUAUGUAUCAGAUAUUAAGCUUUGAUAUUUAUAUACGCAUUCUAUCGAAUCUGAUGUGAAAUUUCAACCUGCUUCAUAGGUGAAUGGGGACAGGUUUUGUACUGCAGUGCAAUUUUGGGGUGCAAUUAAUUAUUCCGUACAUCGAGACAGAAUUGGUAAUUGGACAUGGCAAUUAUUCAUGACCUAGACUAUUAAAAGAAAAAUUACAGUUUAAAUAAAAAUUAUAUAUUUUUUGUCACAGCUAUAAAAUUGUAGUUCUCACCGUUCUGAUUUUUUGUAUAGUAAUAAGUGAGUGAUGUAAAAUCUAAAAGUCACCAUCAUUAAUAUUUUAUUAUUUUUGUCGCUUUGUUUUUGUAAUUGAUUACGAGAUGCUGAAAGGUUUGAGUUUUGACCAAAAGUAAAAUUACAAUAAAAUAAACAACAAAACUUAAUAUUUUACGUCUCUACUUCCGAUGAAAUAAAUACUCCUCAAGCUUAUUUGUUUCAACGAAGGUGAAAUUUAGCUGGAAAUAGACUUUCGAGUAAACUAGAUUUCAAGUAAAAAUUAGCUUUCUUCCACUAUUUGUAUGUAUAUUUGUGAAUCUAAAAUUUUUCCGAUUGUUCUACUAUGUAUUUAAAACAGAAAUAAAGCGUUAAAUGCAUUCAUGUCUCUGCAAAUAUAGUGAAUUGUAAAUAUGUCCCUACAAAAUUUAAUUUUUAUAUAUUUUUUCUGCAAAAAUUUAAUGUUUUUAAAUAUGUUCCUCUAGUUAUAGAACUGUUUAUAUUUUAAGUGAAAUGUCAAUUUUAUCAUCACAAAUAUAUCUCUCCAAAAACCACAACAGUGUAAUAAAUAAGAGGGGCAAAAAUGUAAAGUUAUCUCAUAAAUUAACCAGAGUUAAGAAUUUAACCUACGGUUAAUUAAAAUUUUCUAACCAAUUCUAACGGCAUGGACAUAUUUAAAAACAUUAGGAUUAGGAUUUUUAUAGGGACAACAUAUGAAAGUUGAAUUUUGUAUGGAUAUAAUUGUAAUUCACUAUAUUAGCAGAAACCUAUAUGAAAUUAACUCUAAAAUAAAUAACGAAAAAAAUGAAUAUACAAGAAAUAGGCUAAUAUUUUAUUAUUCUUUUCUUAUCUUUUCUUUCCGUAAUUGACUAUAGUAUUUUCAAAAGUUAUCAAAAUUAAAUUACGAUAAAUCAAACACGAACAUUCACAUUCACGGUCGAAAAUAACUUCACCCCUUUCUCGAUGACCGCGAUCCAAUUUUUCUCUCUUAAAAGUUUAAAUUCAAAUCUACAAUUGAAUUUAAUGUGCUCCAGAAGCACCAUCUAGAGGACAUGUAAAGGUGACUAACUUUCUAUACAAAGAAAAGAGUAAAACACCACGCCUUGAAUUUAUUAUAUUAUCUAUUAUUAUAUACUAAAGUGCGUGGAAUGGUUUUCUUUUAUUGAGAUGUAGCUCUACUAUUCAGUACAUCCGGUGCAUUGUAGACCAUGGAUUGUAGACAUAUAAAUGGUUUAUAUAUAUAUAUAUAUAUAUAUAUAGUNNNNNNNNNNNNNNNNNNNNNAGCUGGGCCCUCAAGUCACGGACCUCACUAGAUCCGGAAGUAGCGGAGGUCUCAACCUCCUCGGGGUGUGCCGCAUCAUCCGCCCCGGCAGACUGGGAGCGUGUAAUCGGCAUCGUCACUACAAAGCAUAAAAGCGCAAGUUAGUAACCCACGCUAUCGCAUCCCCGCUCAAAUAGAUAAAACCCCAAAUCAUGCGAAAGUAAGGAAGUGUCCUUCACUACUAACUUCCGAUGUUACGUUGUCGACCGCCAACGUAACCCUCCGCGAUGUUAGAAGCCAUACACUCCGAUCAAACUCUAACUUUCUAGAGUUGUCAUAAUACCCAAUCAUGAUACUUUCGCUCACAAGUCGAAUAGACCUCGUCUCUCACGAGCAUAUUUCCUAUAGUCCAACCGGCCUAAGGUUUGCUAGAUCCCCUAAGACUCAACCCUAGGCUCUGAUACCAAAUUAAUCUGUCACGCCCCGGGACCGGCGGAGGCCCUCCCGGUAGCGUGCCCGGACCCGCCAUAUGUCUACACAUAUAAGGCGUCUAGAAUAAAAGCGAAAGUAAAAGCAAGUAGUAGACAACUAGAAGAAGUGAAAUAACAAGCAACUAAUGAUAUCAGAGCGAAUAUAGUUCUAACAUCUACACCAAGGUAAAGAAGUAAAGCUGGUCAAUAAAAAGAGUCAUAAGAAGUACAAUAACUGUCACUAGUACAAAAAUGGUGGUCUCUAGUACACUGGUAAAACACUCAACCUCUUGCAAAAAUAGAACAAAAAUCGAGAGGUAGACCACCUAGCAACUCGUCCUCGAAGGAAGCUAGCUCGAAGCAACUCCCUUCCCGCGAUCCCUGGCCUCACCCUGAGUGGAAGGCUCUGUAAAACAUCGAGAAAAAGAGGGCGUGAGAACUAUAAUUUAUAGUUCCCAGUGGGCAAUUACUGACCUCAGCUCAAUGCACCACUAGGCCCCAAAGGAAAAGGGUAAGUACUAAAGCAAUAAUAAGAGUAAUAGCAACAACAAUACGAAAGCAUAAAUGAAGUGCUAAACCGCUAUAUCUCAAGUAAAACAUGAUGUCAUGGUGGUGUACAUCUACGCUGUCAUAAGAUAAUAUAUCCAAUGCAUACUGUUAUGUCUCGACAUGAUAAACAAGUAAACCUCACAAUGCAGUAUGUCGAUGCAUAAAGAGUAAACUCUAACCAAGCAACCGAGUAUACUACGAUACAAUAAUGAAACCGGCAAGUAUGCUAUAUGCACCAAUGCUAUAUCAUGAGCAUGUCAAAGUAAUCCAACUACUAAACCUAUCUAGUAGUGAUUAUUCAUUCUCAACCCUGUGUCGAAUUCUAUUUCCAAUUAAGGACCCACCCAAGGUGGCCCAGCUUGUGCCGCCUAAGUGCCCGUGGUAGCCCGACAUUCCUACUCUUGGAAUGUGUCUGUCCCACUCAACCCCGUAGGCUUCUCAAUACCGCACGAACGAACAUAGUCGCGUAGGCUAACUCCGGAGUGCCGGCUUGUAGGGAGCGACUCUCACAAGCAUGUGCGAAUGAGCACAAAUGGCAAGCAAGCAUAGUCCAAAUCUCAAAUGUCCAAUCCUCAUGUCUCUAACAUGGUAUGGUCACUAGCAUCACGAAGAUCUAGUUUAAGUCAAAAUGUGGAGUUUCAACAUUUGCUACGCCUAGUGCCCCUUGAUGACACUUAGGCAAUUUGAUGUUCAACAUGUAUUUCAAAUCCCUCAAUGGCCCUAUCCACUAGGUUCUCACAUAUCCCGAGCUCAAUGCCGCUUGAUGACAUUAGCUCUUUAAAUCACAUACGAUUCAAGUUUGGGGACCCAAAAUGGCCAAUGUUGUUAUCUUUCCUGUCUCAAUUAAACUUAGGUUUAAAUGCAAGAAUCAAAACUCAUUUACACUAUAAGCAACAUGGCCAACAUAAGAAUGCUAGAAAACCCCGCAUAAGCUUCAUAUGUACUUUUUUACUACAUAGAGGUCCAAAAUUUUACUACAUGUGACAUGGGUAUUUUAAGCAUUCCAAAAAUCAUAAUAAACGCAUGUGACAUGAUUAUGCAUGAUUUUCCAAUUUACAAAAUAUAAUUCACCAUAUAUGAGAAUUUCUCAUAUUAUAGGCUAGGUCAAACCCACCAAAAUCGAAACUCUCGAUCCGCCGAACGAAGGUUUCGGCAAGCUCCCAAGUACCCUAAGAGCAACAAAAACGGGGUUACCCAAACGAAACGAAGAGCGAAAAGCUCAAACAUUAAGCAUCUAGCAAAAUGGGCAAAACUCACCUCAAGAGAAGAAAUCUCUUCCUAUGCUCCAAAAGAGAGCUAGAACCCUUCCAUUCUAACCUAGGGGAAGGUUCUAAUCCAACCAAUUGAGCUUCAAAAGCCCUAAAACGAAAAUGCCCAAAAUAAACCCUAAAACACCAAAUCUAGGGUUUCAUCUCAAUGAAACCUUCAAAAACCAAAUCUAGAGGGAAGGAUCUUGUCUCUUACCUCUUAGAAGCUUCAAACCAAGCUCAAAGUUCCCAAACUUCAAGAAUAUUCCCUCAAUCAAGCUCCAAACCUAAGCUCCAAGCUUCAACAAUGGUGGAAAUAGCUCCAAAAUGCAAAAGAGAGGGAAAAAAUCCAUCAAAACCCAAGCAAAAAGGUGAUCAAAACCAAAGGGAGGAGAAGAGGUUCUCCUUACCUUGCUUCUCCACGGAUUCCAGCUCAGGGAGAGCUCCAUGGGGCGUGGGGACACAUAUAAGAGUCCACAAAUGCGAAAAACCCCCUGCAGUUUCGAACAGUUCAAAAAUCUGCACUGCGUACCGGUACACGGGCCCGCGUACCGGUACACAUCCCACGAAAAUGCCAAACCCGAGCCUCGGGUUGGCUGAAAGGCUGCCCGUGUACCGGUACACACUCCCGUACCGGUACAACCAUCAAGCCUGUACCGGUACAGCCAUCAAGCCUGUACCGGUACAGCCAUCAAGCCUGUACCGGUACACAGCCCAAUAAAGGCUACCCGAGAGCUAACAAAAAAUCCAACUUUUUGGAUGUUGGUACACCGCUUCAAACCACAAUUCUCGGGACUCGAACCAUGGGUCGGAACACUGUCUACGACCCUUCAGAAAGUCUGAGAUGGCUCGCCACACAGAUCAAACACUCGAACCUCGCAAUUUGCAAAGGUCCAGUGCGUCACAAUAGUAGCCCUACUCAUAUAUAUACCAUAUACUAUAUCUAUAGAGAGAGAGAGAGAGAGAGAGAGAGAGAGAGUUCGGCUAUUGUACUCUUAUGAGUACGAUCGCCUUCGUACUCAUAAGUUGUUUUCGAUGAUACAGCUUCCGAAUCGACGAUCCAUACCGUUAAACAUUAUCUAGAGCAUUUAAAACUUUUAGAAAUCAAAUUUUAUAAUUUUUCGAUAUCAUUUACCUUAUGAUCAAAAGCUCACAAAAUUGACAAUUUUUAACGACUGAUAUGAGAUAUUUACUAGUUUAACGGUGAAAAAAAUUGGAAUAAGUUGAAUUUUUGAUAGAAAAUUUUAUUCACUACAUAAAUAAAAAUCAAUAACUCUAAUCUUAAAUUGAAGGAUCCGAUCAUCUAUUUUUAAGAUGUCAUUCGAUUUUAAUCGUUCUUUUUAUACCCUCUUGAUGGACUUUAUAAUGAUUUUAAAAAAUUACAAAAUUUAUUUUCUAGAAGUUUCAAAUAAUCUAGAUCAUUUUUAACGGUGUGGAUCAUCAAUUCGAAAUGUCCAACAUCGAAAAUAACUUAUGAGGACGAAGGGCUCAAUACUCAUAAGAGUAUAGUAGCCCUACUCUAUAUAUAGAGAGAGAGAGAGAGAGUUGAGUUAGAAUACUCUCAAAAGCACUAAGGGUGUGGUACCUUUGAGUUUUUUACCAUUUGAUAGAGAGAUGUAGGGUUGAAAUGAUGGUGAUAAUGAUAGUGGUAAAUGAUGUCGAAAAAUUAUGAAAUUCGAUUUCUACAUAGUUCCAAUAACGUAGAUUAAGCCUAACAGAACAGAUCGUCAGAUCGAAUAUCCUAUCAUCAAAAACAACUUACAAGUAUCGAAACAUUCAUACUUUCAAAAGCACAUAGACCUAACGGGCUCUCUCUCUCUCUCUCUCUCUCUCUCUCUCUCUCUCUCUCUACUUCCGUAGUUUGUUUAAUAGGAACAGAAUUGGAAGCUUUUUUUCAUUUCCUAUUUUUGUUUCAUGUAAAUCGCUAGAUAUUAACCCCAAACCUGUUGGAAGUGAAAAUUCUCUACACCGACUAAAUUACUAUUUCUUUUUGUUGUUUCUCACCUGGCGUAAAUAACUUCUGGAAUACUUGGGCCUGUUUGUUUGCAAGAAAGUGAAGUGGAAGUGAAAGGGAGGAAGUGAUUUUCGGUGAAAACUGAUCACUUCCGUUGUUUGAUUCGUCGUAAAAAAAUUACAGUCGAAACUCCAGCUAACCUAAAAUGGUGUAAUUGACUUCGGCCCAUCGUAGACCGAAAUCAAUUACGGUGAAAAGAGAUAAAGAAAAAAUAAUAAAAUAAUAUAAUAAGUAAAGAUAUUUAUAUUUAAAUAUAUUUAAUUAUGGUACUAAUUAUUUUUUUAUUCAUUUGACAUAUUUAAAAUAUAAUAAAAAUUGAUUAGUUAAAUUUUAAUAUUUUUUUAAUUAGUUUGUACAAUUAAAAUAUAAUAAAAAUUGAUUAAUUAAAUAUUAAUAUUUUUUUACUUUAUAAUUUUAUUGUUGUAUUAUUAUAAUUUAAAUAAAAAAAUAAAUUUAGUUGUUUUAAAUUAAAUUUUAAUUAUAUACAAAUAUAAUUAUAUUAUUUUUAUUUAUUAAAUUAUUUAUUAUUAUAGGACAAUUUCAUCACUAGCCCUCUCAAAUAUGUAAAUAUCAUAAAUGCUCCUACAAAGUUGAAAAAAUCAUAUAUACCCCUUUAAAUGCAAAAAAAAUUCACAAGCACCCUUCCUUCCAACUGCCGUUACCAUAACCAUGAUUAAAAUUUGGUUAAGGGUUGAGUUAUAAAAUGACUAAUUUAGCCCUAAAAAGGUUAAGUAUUAUUUUGCCAGCAAAUAAUUAAGGGGCAAUUUCAUAAGUACCCUUCUAAAUUUUGAAAAUAACAUCUGUAGCACAAAUUAUUAGUGGGUAAAAAAAAAAGAAACUCCUCACCAAUAUAUCAUUUUGAACUAGAUCCCUUUAAAUUUUAUUUUUAACAUUAAGGGCCCUUGAACUACCAAUUUUUCUUUAUUUGGACUUUACUUAGUUAAAAGUUUUUCAAUUGAGAUCCCUCACAUGAAUUUGAUAAAAUUUUUAAUUUUGUUGGGAAAAAACACUCAAUUACUAAAAUUUAAAAAAAACACUUAGGUUGAGAGGGUAUAUAUAUAGAGAGUUUUGUUAUAAUACUAUCGGUAGUACAGCUUGAUUUACUACGAUUUGUUUUCAAUGAUAGAAUUUCCAAAUUGACAAUCGGCACCGUUAAACAUGAUAUAAACCAUUUAAACUAUCUGAAAGUUAAAUCUCACGCUUUUCCGAGUUAGGAUUAUGUCGAAGUGGACUAUAGAUGAGAGGGUUUUCAUAAAAUUUUACUUUAUUGUUAACAAUAAAUUUUCAAUUAAAAAUUUUUUGUUUGAGCAGAUCAUAUAAGUAAUACUCUAAUAUCAAGAAUUUUGAUAUCAAAAUAUUUUUAGCGUGAGAUAUGUGAGUUAUUUAAAUAAUAUUUUAAAAAUAAAUCUUUAAAUAAUUAAUGUUGAAUAUGGACAAUUAUAUUACAACUAUAUAUAAUUUAAAAGUAAAAAAUCAUAAUGAGAUUUAACUAUCACACUUAAUAGACUAUAGAUUUUUAAUUAUAAAAUUUAAAAAAAAUGUUAAAUUAUUAUGUGAUUCAAAAGUUAGAAAUUGAUCAUAUAAUUAAUCUUUAAAUAUUACAUGAUUAGAUUCGUGCUAGGGAUAAAAUUGGUAUUUAUAAAAUAUUGGAUGACUUCUUGACGAAAAGUUAAUCUAAAGGAUAUCUAUGAAUAUUUUUGGUUUAAAAAGGAGUAUUGAUGAUAUUUUGUAGUCUAGAGGGGUAUUGAUGAAAUUAUCCCUUAUUUAUAAGGGUAUUUAUGAAAAGUAAAAAUAUAUCCGUUGAGGUGGUACAGGAGUAGAAAUGAAAUUUACAACUUGUUUUGUUAGAUUCUCACAACACAUUAUGCAUAGGGGUAUUUAUAAAUUUUUUUUGAAUUUAAAAAGCCAUUCAUGAUAUUUUUAAUUUUAGAGGAGCAUUGAUGAAAUUUCAGCGUCCUAUAAGAAUAUCCAUGAAAUUUUAUCUAUGAAAUUUUAUCUAUGAAAUUUUCUCUAUUAUUUAUAUAUAAAUUAUAGUUUUAUAUCAUAUACUUCCUACCAAACAAACAACGGAACUAAUAAAACUUUAGUUUCAUAAUUACAAAACAAAUAGCGAAAAAGUAGUAGUUUUCACCGAACUCCACAUAAACCCAAAGCCCAAUUUCGGUGAAACAAAAAUGCCCUAAGCUAAACACCGAAAAAUGACUAUUUACAGCCAAAGAUGACUUCAUCCCUCCCACCUAGGGCAAACCAAACAUAAUACUCUAGUGGCAGAUGUCAUUCAAAAUGAAAACCUGAUGAAAUUGAGAUAACUUAGGACUGAUUCUAAUUACAUGUUACUGACAUAUUGAUCUAAUAGAUACGAUCGAUGUGAUCGGAAAUGACGGAAAACCAAUCGUAACACAACCAAAAACAUCGACCGUCCCUAGCGCAAGUGGCAAAAAGGUUUGAUGGUUGGUAUCAGAGACCCAAAUUUGAAUCCUAGUUGAUUCACAUUUCUAGCUAAGUUUAUUUCUAAAUGAAAUAAACGAAGCGGAUAGCAUACUAUCUUUUUCUCAAAAAAAAAAAAAAAAAAAAAAAAAAAAAAAACAACAACAACAACAACAAUAACAACAACAACAACGCAACCAAAAACCUGGAACUGAUAGUCUAUGAACUACAAGAAGUUUGGAGGGAGUGUGACCUCUCUUUAUUCUUGAAGGUAAAUGAACCAUCAAAUUCAUGAGGUACACAAUUAUUACAACUGAUAGUACUACUUUUCGUCUUGUUCACAUUUAAAAAGCACUUUUUUCAUGCAAUGCUCAUAUUUUCCAAACUUAGAACGUAGUAUUUCAACUCUUUCACAUUUAUUAUCAAAGGAGCUCACACUGCAUCAAGUACUUGUCUAAAAUCAUACAAUAGCACAAGCCAUUACCAAACGAAAUGCUAUGUCAGAUAUGCAUCUAAAGCUUGGGAUGUGCAACCUAAGGUUUGCGGCAUUUUGUUACAUGAGUAAUGCUAUCUGUACACCCAAAAGUAGAUAAAAAUCUUCCGGCCCACCCAUCCAAAGGUUAAUUUUACCACACUAGUCUUCUCACAACUUUUUUUUUAGUACUAAAAAUCCAAAAGAGUUGUCAGUUGUUUCGAUCAUCAGAUGAAGAGGGUGUAAGAUAUAUGCCGGCCCACUUUUGGAUGUGCGGAGAGCAUUUCUCUUGCUAUAUAUGGUCUCAAUACUUGGCCAUGCAAAAGUUAAUUGCAAAUGCAAUGGCAAAGGAAGAAAAGCUAACUACAAAUAAAUGAGAAAAGCAACCAUGUGUACCAGAAACAACAAAGGUUGAAACAAAGGAGCCGCAAAUGUAUCCCUGUGAAAUUUCAAAAAUACCUCUGUAGUCCUCCAAAGCUGAUUAAUAGCAUAUUUCUCCUCAAAAUAGAUUCCAACUGCGAAAUAUAAAAAUUUAAAUAUGCAGGUCGAAGUUAAUUUGGGGGUGAAAUCAAAUAGAAAAGAGGCUUCAGGGUUUUCGGUUCUGAUAACACGAGAUGUAUUAGGAGCAACUCAAGGCUAUCUAAGACUUCCAAACUAAGCAGGCAAAUUUCUGGUAAACCACAUGUGCAAACUAGUACAUUCAAAAAGGCCGGAUUGAUCUCAACUAGUAGUGGUGAUCCAAUGGGUCAGCUGAAAGACGGAAUGAUCACUAUGCUCAGUUAAAGCAAUAUUGGAGAUGCCACCUCCGAGUAAUUUGGAGGUGUUAAGGUCUCAUCAAGGUCACUAGGACUAAUAUCAGAAGAUUCAUAUCAAAUAUUUCUAGUUGUCUUCACACUUUUUCCAGACUUACGAAGAAAGGGGUGGAGAUCGCAUGGGAUGAAUCCUGCCAGAAUGCACUCAAUAGCAUCCGACAAUAUCUGCUAAACCCACCUGUGCCGGCUGGCACCAAUUAAAGGAAGGCCACUUAUUUUGUACACUGCUGCUAUCACUUAAAGCCCUCUUGGCCCAACAGCAUGAAAGAAGGCGAGAUCACCCAAUGUGCAGGAAAUUUUUUGCAUACAGGGACUGCAGGAAACCUACACCCCUGUUUGAUGCAGUUAUUAAUCUGAAGAAUUUUGUCAAUCGGAUAUCUUAAGAGCAUGAUCAACCAGUUAAAUAACCAUGAUUCAGAUUCCAUUUUUAGUCAGAACUUGCAUCUUAACUUUUGCGUUAUUUUUCAGCUUACCUAAUUUUUGCACUAAUUCAUGUCCUAGUGUUGAGAAUAAUUAGGGUUAAUAUAAGCUGCAGUAAACAGGCUCUAUAUGCAAAGAAAACAAACUCUGAUAUAGCAUUUCAAAUCCUAGAAUAGUAUGCACUUCGAAGGCCCAGAGAGAAAUAUUAAUAUAAGCAUAUGGUGCACAUCAAACAUAACUACUCGAGGAAGUUUUAGAUAUUGUACAUACAAAGAACAAGGUAAUUCAAAAGCUGAUUUUCAUAAAAUAUUUAAAAAGAAAGCGGAACUAGAGCACGGCAACACAAAAUUUACUGACCCAAAAGAGUUUACACAGCUUUAGGGAUGGCAACAGCUUCUGGCGCUGGCAGGGUUACUGAUCUCAGCAGUUCCAACGAGCAAACAAGCCCCAGAAAAUGCGAAAGGAUGGUAUUGGCUGAAGCCUGAUAACAAUUAAAGCAAGUUAGAGAACUACUUUCCAACAGUUGUCAUAAUUAAAAGAUACUAAAGUUUCAGAGAUCUAGUCAUAGCAAAAGCUGAGACUACAGUUUCCAAGAACUAUUUUUAUGGAAGAAAUUAACCAUUUGAUAUCUAUGAAACAACCAAUUAUAAUAUAUUAGAAAAUAGCAUUUUCAUAUUUUAUAUUUAACACUCCCCCCUCACAAUUGGGCUCAAGACAUGGAGUAGAAUUUAAUGGGAGAAAAUUCGAUGAACUAGUAGCCUAGUUGAUUAAAACUUAGGAACUCCUGCUUUGAUACCAAUAUACCAUGUGAAAUAAUUAAUUACUCAAAAAGCAUAAGCUGCCAGGGAAGAAUGGUUCAACAUUUUCUAUUCAACAGAUACUUCUUCCAAAAGCUCUAAUUGUUGAGAUGAUAACUGCGCAAAGUCUUAUAUAUGAAUAGGAAGGAAAAAAAAACAUAUGAUUGAUUAAUCAAACGCGAUCUUUGUAUAGCAUGCAAAGAACAAUUAAGUAGGAUAUUCUAGAAAAAGGAAAAUAUCUCUGUGAAGGGUAGAAAGAACGUAACAAACAUUGAAUACAACAGCCAAUAUUGAAAUUCAAAAUGCAUGAAUUUAAUCAAAUAACAAUAAAGAGCUAGAAGUAGACGCAACUGGUUAUAAAGAAUGUCUCAUAACUAGUACUUUCUAUUAGAUUUCAAACAACUUACCAUGCAUUUUUUUUCAUGUCAAUGGUGAAAGCAGUAGAAUUUAUUUAUCAAGAUAAAUAUUUCAUACUUUAUUAAUGAAGACUAUAAGCUGCAAGCUAAGUAACACAUUUAAAGCUGCAGAUUUAGUACCAAACAACCAGAAAUUUCAAGAUCUAAGAAACAAUGAACACGAUGUUCGUGAUAAGCUGGAGACAAAUGCUGCUGCACUUCGUAGAGGAGAAGAAAUCUGAUUUAAGAAUUAUUUAUCUUUGUAUAUUUACCACAAACACAAAACGAAAAAGAAAAAAAAAACACCUGCAGCUGAGCUCAUUAUAGCUAUAUGUUACUCCUACCAAAGAAAACAGAAAUUAAUAUCUAUUGUUGGGUGGAGAGAGGAGUAAAAAAAGGCAAAUGUAUUACCAAGAAAAUGCCAAGGAAAAAUGAGAGAAAAUGACUUUAUAAUCAAGUACAGGAUUAUUAUAUACCUGUACUAAGAAAACAUCUAACGCCAACACAGGACUCCGACCAGGGGGUAUCCCCUGAUAGUAUGGAACUGCUGAGGUAGUAAGGGCUUUUGCAACCAAUAACCCAACGGUUGCUUGCAUGCCAAGAACUGCAGCGCCCAUUCCGAGAAGAUUAACCACUAUACCAUUCUUCAGACUUUUAACCACAUCAGCACGUGGAGGGGCCUAGAAAACAAAAGAAGUGUAUAAAAAUUCUGAAGUUAAAUGAAGCACCAACAAAAGAAUCUAACUGACUGUUGUUUUUAAUCCUAUGGUGUUAGAAAUAAACUAAAAUUAAUUUUCCACCAAUGUAUUAGGAGACUUGUAUGAUCUCCCUGAUCAUACCUCUCCAAAGCUAUUUGUGGCACUCUUAGUUUUUACCCCUUCGAAUUUAUAGAGAAGGUUCUGCCUCACACUUUUGUUAUGUGACACAAUAGUAAUAUAAACACAAAACAAUCAUAGAGGUUAGCAUUGCAAGAAAGUUUGUCGAGGUCAAUGAAGACUUAAGCACCAGGAUAAAAGAAUAGAAAAUAUUGAUAUGAAACUCUCAAUCAAGCAUUCUUUCUUUUUGAAGAAAAAAAUUUUAUCUUCGCGAAAGGUGACAAACAAAAAGCUACACAAACUGCUAACUAAUUUUGUAGGAUAACAUUUUGGUAUUUUAGAAAUUUUGUAGGAUAACAUUUUGGUACUUUAGAAAUUAACAUUUUGUAGGAUACACAAGUACUUUGGAGUUUCAUACAAGCAGAAGCUACAGGGCACGCAAAAGAAGUGUCAUUUUUGAAAUGCAAGGAAUGAGAUGGCUUCCAAAAUCCUAAACCCUACAGGACGGUAUAUUAUUUCUCUGUAAUUAUAACCUAUCAUUUGUGUAAUAACUGAUGUAGAAUGACUAUGCACUUAUAUAUGUUCAUUUAUACAAGUAGUUGACAUCUGAAACAGGAUAUCAAAUGAGAUUUCGGCAACAGAUAACAAAUUACUCACUAUUUACUAUUAGUGCUUGAAUAUUUAUUCAAAUUUUCCAAUUCAGCAACCAUGUCAAACAGCAUAACAUUGACAGCCAGAAAAUGCAAGGUUAGAGAGAGAUAGAGAGAGAGAGAGAGAGAGAGAGUACCUUGGCAGGCUCAUUGGCCGUUCUUUUAAGCCUUUCAGAGAGACGGAUGUAACCAAACGACCAGAAGACUGACACAAAUGCAGCAGCAAUACUGCCAGCAGUGGUGUAAAAUGUGAUUGGUGAUGUGACCUUGCCAGUAACAAGUGUAGAGAACGAUAAUAUCACAGCAGAUACAACUGUGCACACCAGCUGUCCCCAGAACCCAAGGCUACCCAACCGUUUAAAGUAUCGGGAUGUAUUCUCUAGUCUUUUCGAAACCUACUAAUUAAGUCAAAAAGUUUAUAUGAAAAGUGACAGAAGGUUUGUGCAAAUAAAAUAUGAACAGAAGUUUUGUAUGAUAAGAUGCAGGUUAAGCUACUCAAACAAACUGCAGCACUGAAGACUAAAACUUAUAAUGAUAGUUUUACAUAGUUUUGUCAAUAUUUAUCCCUGAAAUCUUUCAAUUUGCAUUUUUAUACAUCAGUUCCACAAAUUUGCAUAUUCAUCGAUCCAUGACUUCCUCAAAUAUUUUCUCUUUGCGUUAUUGUAAUUAGAAUUCAGUAUUCUUCUUAGAUGCCAGUCUAAGAAAAAGCAACAUAACUAAUGACUAAAACUGCCUUAUCUUCUUCCACCAUCUGUUCCCUAGUGUUUACUAGUCAACUCGUCUUUAUAAAAGGUGUCGGGUGACAAAUUCGUUGAACUUUCCAGGUACAUCCAGACUGAAAAUCCUUUAUAACACAACAAAGAUAUAGGCUUUUUUUCUGCUCAAUUUUGAAGGCACUUGGAAUAGGCUUCUCUAUUCUUGUUAUUGUUCGUUUGCAAACUCAUCUUUAUGAAAUAGCUAGGAAAUAAAGAGAAUAAAUAAUAUAUCUUCAUUUUGUUGUCAAACACAAUCCAUAAGAAUAGAGACCGUAAAAAACUCACAAUAGCAAUAUUAGAUAAGGCCAUCCCUAUGUUCCCUCAGCCAUGUAGAACUUGAUAAAGAAACAAACAAUGCCCAAUGAACGGUAAGACUCUUCUUUGUUUAACACCUCAAAGUUCAUCCUACAACUAACCAAUAAGUUACAGACAUAUGUAAAUGUCAUUUUGACCGAUGAAGACUAAUAGAGAAAGAUAUAUAACAUUGUUAGAUAUAGAAUCAAGACUUGUUUCCUCAAUGGAUUAAAUGUAUGUUUAUCCUAAUAUACUUCUCAAAAGGCUAAAACACAAGGAAGUCCCCUGUAUUCAUCGCAAUUUGCACUUUACGCCCACCCACUCCCCUCAAUAAUCAAAACCUAAACAUUGUUGCUCGAUAUACUAAAACCAUCCUGCAUUUUACAACAAACCCCACCCCCUUAACCACCCAACACGCAGAACAGGGCGAAGUACUACAACUAUAUGAAUCUUGGGGCCAUCAAUAGGUUUAGAUGAGUAACCAUACUUACGCAUUAUAGAACAGUUUACUAAUCUGCUAAACUGUCAGUCUUCAAUUGGGUAGUUGGUACAAUUCACAAGGAGGAUGGUAUAUUUCAGGCAUCGAGUUGUAAUUACAAAACCCAAAUGAAAAUAAAAAUCUACCACAUGUUGUACAACCUUUUAAGUGGGGAAAGUUUUCUGGUUUCCAUUAUCGAGUGGGUAAAGGGCAAAUCAGGAUACAUCCAAAAGUAGGUUUUCUGCAUGUUAGCAAAAAAUUUCAGCAAACAGUAGAUCCUUCGAAAGCACUACGCAUUCAUCUCAUCUGUACUCGAUCUCUCAUUCAUCUCAAAACCCUUUGAAUUGUAUUCCAAAAUCCCUUUCGAAGAAACCCAACUCAAAUUAAACCUAACAACGCCUCCCAAAUUUACUCCAUUCCACCUCCCCAUUCAAUUCACCACAUAAGAAUAGACUUUUAUUGCCAAAAACAACAAGAAAAAUCCACAAUCACAAGAACAGAUACCGAGAGAGAGAGAGAGAGACCUGCGCAAACUUUGCCAUCUCGAAUUUUACAAAAAAUCAUCAGUGAUCGAUCCCUUACUCAUUCACCUAAAAACCCUCAAUCAACUCAAACAAAACCAAAUCCAUUCUCCACGCAACGCACCAAAUCAGAUUAGAGACGUUCGUAACAAAAACAACAACAAAACAGAUGCCAAGAAAGAGAGCGACCUGCGCGAGUUUAGCCCUCUCCGAUUCGUCGUCGGCGGCGGGCGAACUCGCCGCGGCGGCAUGCGGGGGCGUCCGAUUCCAACUCCUGCUGCGAUUCCGAUUCCUAGCAGUGAUUAGGGCGAGGAGCUGGGAUGGUGAGGGAGAAGGGGGGAAGUGGGAGAGAGCGGUGGCGGUGGCGGUGGCGGUGGGGGAGGUAGUGCUUGGGAUUAGGGUUAGGGUUAGGGUUAGGGUCAGGGUUUUGCGGCCGCGGCGGGGGAGAGGAGGGUGAAACGCGGCGGCGGAGCGCGGCUGCAGAAGCAGCAGCGCCUGCAUUGUAGCGGUGGUGGUGGUGGCUUCGUUUCCCCCGUAGCCAAGGUAGAGAAAGAAGGGGGCUGGAGAGGGUGAAAUGUAUGGAUAGUCCUUGUACAAUCCCAAUAUUGUAACUUGAUCCCCGUUGUUUUAAAAUGUAGGAUCAGGAAUUUAAGUGCCGAGACGUGGGAUCAUGCAGGAAAUUUGCCGGUACGGUACUAUACUAUGCGUGCCGAGCCGUGUCGAUACAUGCCGGUCAAAAAAUUCUUAUAUACCGACACAUAAUAGUAUGAAAUAUUUAUUUUUUUUAGCAACAAAAUAUUCUAACUAUUUAUUAUAUCUUUUUAUUACAUCUUUUAAACUUUAUUGAGAAAAUUACUUACUAAUUUAAAGAAUAAAGAGUUUUGAACUGUGCCAUCGGUACAGGGUCUGUAUCGUGCCGGUAUCUUGUUAGCACGGUACAGUACGGUGGAUACGGCCCGUGCCAACGGGCACUUAAAACCUUGUGUAGGAUAAACUUCAGAUAUCACCCAUGUGGUUUCGCUUUUUCUCACUUUAGUGUCCUGUGGUUUAAAGUGUAUCAAGUUAGUGUCCUGUGAUUUUAUUUUUAUCUUUUUGACAGCUUCUCCGUUAAUAUUUCGUUAAAUUAUAUAUAAAAAACUUCAUAUACUCCUCCUUGGUUUAUCGAAUAUUCACAUUAAUACCAUUUAGUUUUAACUUUGUCACGGACUUAACGAAAAAAAUUAGUGAAAUCUAUAAUAAAAAGAUAAAGGUGAAAUCAUUGGACACUAAAUUGAUACACUUUAAAUAACAGGGUACUAAAGUGAAAAGUGUAAAACCAUAAGGGUGGUAUUUGAAGUUUUUUCUAAAUUGUAUAAAAUUUAACUCCACUAUCACAUUUUUGGAUCCUGCUAGGGUGGCAAUCCAGCUCACUGUUCGUGAGCCCGUUCGUGUUUGGCUCGAAAUGAGCUCGAGAUUAAAUCGCUCGUUUAGUAAACAAACCGAGCACGAGCUGAAAGAACACGAGCUAGGGUCAGCUCGCUCGUGUUCAGCUCGAUAACUGCUCAAAUACAUAUAUUUUAUAUUUAUAUUAUAUAUAUAAAUAAAUGAUUAUAUAUAUAAUAUAUAUCUAUAUCUAUAUCUAUAUCUAUACUACAUAUAAAAGCGUGAGUUUUACAUUUUUUCCUCUUUCCAAAAAUACCUCUAUCUUUUCUACUAAUAUUUUCGUGUCCAGUAAUUUUCAACCAUUCGUUUCAAAUAAUUUUUCGAAUAAUAAAUUAUUCUUAAACAUAGAUCUUAAGUUUUUAUCAUUGGAUCUCAUCCAACGAUUAAAAAUAAAAGUAUCUGUCACUUUUCUUGACAAAAAUACCCUCAAUAUCCAUUAACUCCUAUCUACGCGUUUUACAAAUAUCUACGCAUUUUCUCAAACGUAAUUUUCGUCAUAACUUAAACAUUAUAUCCUAUUUACGGCGUUUCUAAAAUAUUUUAUUUCUCACACGUAAUAGCACCAAUCACAUAAUAAAUAAAAUAAAAUUAAAUAAAUUUAUCCUAUCUACACGUUUUCUCAAACGCGCCAUAAAUUAAAAUAUCCGUAAUCUCCUAUUUACGUGUUUCUCGAAUAUUUUCUUUCUCACACGUAAUAUCAGCGUCAAUCACGUAGAAUGUUCAUAGAAAGAUUUAAUACCCAUCUAAGCAAAACUAAAUUGUUAAUUAAAUAUAAUUUUACAUUUUUGAAUUUUUUUAGUAAAAUAUUCAAAAGCAAUACCCGUCAAAAUAUUUUACACGUUUCUCGAAUACAAAGCAUAUCUUAAUAUACUCGCAUAUAUAUCUAAAUAUCUUUACAUAUAAUACGUACACUAUCUAAUCUUAUCUUUGUAUAUAAUAUCUAUACUAUCCAACUUAUCUUUGCAUAUAAUUAAUAUCUACACUAUCCAAUCUUAUCUUGUCAUAAUAUUUAUUCACACACAGAAUAUAUUUUUUUUGAGACAUAUUUUUUUAGUAAUAUAUUUUUUAUUUUCACCUAUACUUUUCUCAAAUAUUUUUUUUAGUAAUAUCCUUUCUCAUAUGUCCUUAUGGUUAACACCAGUACAUCGUAGUACAUCAUCAUCAUCGACACCUGCAUAUUGUAACUUUCGCCACCUUCGUCAUAGUUGGAGAGGUAUUUUGAUCUCACCUGAAAAUAUUUUAUUUUUUUAAUGUGUAUUUAUACUAUUUUAGCAUAUUUUUUUGGUAUUUUCACAUUCUUACGUAUACUUUUAUCAAAUAUAAAGUAUACAUUUUUUUAAUAAUAUCCUUUUUCAUUUUCACCUACAUUUUUCUUACAUAUUCUUAAAUAUUUUUUUUAGUUAAUCCUUUCUCAUUUAUCAUCAUUGCCGGCACCAGCACAUGGUCAUCGUCCUCCUCAUCGUCAUCGUCAUCACCGGUGCCGGCACAUUGUCGCCUUCGUCACCUUCGCCGCAGUUAUUUUGAUCCCACCUAAAUUUUUUUUAUACUGUUAUAGCAUAUUUUUUUUAGUAUUUUCUUAUUUUUACUUAUACGUUUCUCAAAUAUAAAGUAUAUUUUUUUUUAGCAAUAUCAUUUUAAAUAUUUUUUUUGUGACAUAACUGUCAAUCUUUUCUCACAUAAUGCAUACGUUUUCUCAAAUAUUACAAAAUAUAUAUGAAAAAUACUUAUAGUAUAAAUUAAUUAAAAUUAUAUAAAACUUAUUUAGAGAUAAAUUAAAGUUAGAAAAAAAUAAUUAAAUAAUAGACAUACACCACCAAUAACGAUUUAAAAUUUAAAAUGUAAAUAUAAAUUUAAUUUAAAAUUAGAUGUGGCAUUUUAAAUUAAAAAUAAAUCAAAUUUUUGAUUCUUUUACAUUAAAAUAUAUAUCAAAUCUUCUAAAUUUUCUUUCUGACGAGAAUGCACGUUACCUAUACAUUUGUCACUGCCUUCUCAAGUGUUUUUUUUAAUUUCUUCCACACCUCCUCUAUUAUGGUUCGCGCCGGCACAUCGUUGUCAUCACCUUCACCAACACAUCUUUAUCCUCCUCGCCGGCACAACUUCAUUGUCACCUUUGCUAGCAUGACGUCGUCGUCCUCACAUUGCAUGUAUAUCGACAGAAGUCCACGAAUCAUAUCGGCGUUGUUGAUGGUCUACCGACAUGUCAUCGGUAGUCGAGAUACAUGCGUAUGCGCAUUAUCGGUGGUCCACAAUCUGUAGGAUAGAUUCAAAAUUCACCCAAAAUUAUAUUAAUAUUUUUACGAUUUUCUUCAAAUCAAUUUGUAUAUAUAUAUAUAUUUUUUAGGGUAUGAAAAAUGUUAAAAUAUUUGUUCAAAUAAGCUCAAUUAAUUUGAACAGUAAUAAUUAUAGAAUAGUAGUACAAUCCGUCUAUAUUUCAAUUUCAUUAAUAACUUAAAAUUAAUAUAUAUUUUAGAAAAAAAUUAUAUUUGAUUUUUUCAAAUAAGUCUUACGUGCAUUGCACGUGUAUAUGACUAGUAUAAUAUAAAUCUUUGUUAUUUGAUUUUUAGCCCAAUCUAAAUAUAAGACCAACUCAAUUAUAAAAUUAUGUAAAAUUUCAACCAUUAGAUCAAAAGUAUAACGGGUGAGAUCUUAUAAAUUUAUUUUCUAUAUUUAUUCUUUCUAAUCCUUUUAAAUUUCUAUUCAUAAACCAAAUCGUAUUCGACUCGGUACUUUAACGUGCUAGCCGAACACAAGCGUGUUUGGCUCGUUGACGCCCCUAGUUCCUGCUACCUAACCUUCAAAAAAUUUUAAUUUUACCAUCAUACCUUUCAAUUUAUUUGAUUUGAGCUAUUUAGAAACUUUGUAACUUCAAAAUUUAAAUACAUUAUUUAUCUUCAUGAAUUUAGUUAUCAUAUUUUAAAUAAUUUAUGUAAUUCUAAAUUCAUAGAAGUAAUUAGUUUAAAUUUUAUAUUGAAGAACCAUCAAAUUAUUUAAAUCAAACAACUUGAAUGACCGGAUGUUAAAAUCAAAAUUUUAAAAAAUUAAGUAGUUGAGUGAAAAUAAUCUAUAGUUUAGAUAAGUUUUAUAUAGUUUUAUCAACUAAGUUUAAACUUUAAAAUUAAAAAUACGAAUUAUUAAAUUCUUAGUCAAUUGAGCUUAUAUCUGCGAGAACCAAAAAUGUAGAAAAAUAUAAUCCAUCCUGAAUCUGCACUGAUUUGCUAAGUAAAUGAAGUGAAAGAUGAAAAAAAAUUUUCUUUCUUUAAUCCAUCCUAACAAAGCCGACAUCCCGAUCAAACUCGAAUGGGCCAAAAUAGAAUUAAAAUUAAUCCAUUCCGAUCCCGAAUCCGUCCCGUUUGCAUUCCUAUUCACUGUCUAAACCAUUUUAGGCUACUUUGAAAUAGAUCCCUCAACUAUUUCUUUUUGCAGUUUGCUUUCCUCGAAUAUAUUGCAUUUGCACAGAAUCCACAAAAUAAAAAAAUAAAAAAUAAAUAAAUAAAUCAUUUUAUCCCACAAUUUAUACAGUAAAUAUACUUUUUUGGUACCGUUUGGUUCGGAUAUAAACAAGAACUAAUUAUUACAGAGAUAAGUAUAAGUAUGGAAAUAAAAAAAAUAGUAUUUGGAUGAAAAUUAAAUUGUUCUCGGAGAUAAGAACAAUUUUAGAUAGUUUUAUAUAAAAAAUGAAGGUGUUGGUGGGAAUAACCGAGAACUACUAUUCUCGAAUAAAAAAUUAACGUUUGGAUAUAAAGGGGGAUAAGGACCUAUUCCUAUUCCUAUCCCCUAACCAAACGCUACAGCAUUGACAAAAUUUUACCAAAUGACUAGCUGAGUAUAAAAUAAGUUUGGAUAAAUUACACAUUUGGCCCUCAAACUAUGAGCGACAACACUCUGGUCCUUAAACUCUAAUUUGUUGUAAUUUUUUUUGUUCGGAAUUUCAUAAUUAUUGCAAUCAAGUCCCAUACUCUAAUUUAGUUGACUAAAUAUUAAUACAAAUAAUGUGGCAUCUUUUUAUUGAUGCAUAACCACCGAUCACAAUGCUGCUAAAUCACUUCUAUAUUAGCGAUACAUCUAUAUUUAGUCAACUAAAUUGAGGUACAGAACUUGAUUGCAACAAUUCUAAAAAUUCAAGCCAAAUCUUGCAACAAAUUAAAGUUUAAGAAUCAAAAUGUCACCGACCUUAUAGUUUGAGUAAACAUGCAAAAGAAUAAAAUCCUUUUUUUUUUUAAACUCAUUUUGAGAAUAACAUGCAAAACAUAAUACAUCUGAAGAGACAACAUACUACCUUAGAAUAUCAAAUGAUGAGCAGCACUGCCGCAUUCGGCAACCCUAGAUCUACAAUGAUCAGUGCAUGGUAUAAGCUGGGGAACGUCGACUGGCCCGUGUAUGCGAGAAUGAGUGCUUGUGCGCACGCAUGCUCGUGCGCGCAAGCACGCAUACGUGUGAAUCGGUGUGUGCGUGCAUGCGCGCGCGUGUUUGUGUCUGUGUGUGUGUGCACCUGCAUGCUUCCAGAGAAUGAGAAACAGAAACAAUUGGACAGCUUGCAUGUACAAAAAAAAAAAAAAAAAAAAAAAAAAAAAAAAAAAAAGGCUUAUCAUUAGUUAAAAAAGUAGCAUAAUGAAGGGCACAAUGUUCUUAUUUUCACCAACCUAAAGUGAUUGUGAUGAUAUGAGUGAGAUUAUUCUACCUGGUUUUUGUCUCACUUCGACUCAAUAAAAACCUAUAUACAUAAGAGAGAAGUAUUCUUUUUAAAGGCCUAUAAGUAAACUUGCAUUGUGUAAACUUGCAAUGUGCGCAAUUUUAAAAGUAUUAGAAUGGAAAUAUUUAUUUGAUGAGGAUGCACCGGAUCGGGCAACCUUCGGCACCACGGAGUCGAAGAGGUAAGCAAUGCAAAGUGUAUAUCCCUGGUUUGAUGUUCUCCAACUUUAGUCCUUCAACAAGGAUUAUUUCCUGGAAAACAGUGCAACUAACAAUUAGAAAUUGAUUUUACCUAUAAAGAAAAGGAAAAAAAUCGUAUCAAUCAAGAUUAUAUUGAAAAGGAAAAUCACGCACCCGGCUUUCGAGAAAAACUAAGUGUGAAGGGAUCAAGUCGUCGUAUGCAGCAACUGAUAAGUAGUCGACUCCUGCAAAUUAUAACAUAAAGUAAAAAGUGUUUGUUGGAGAAAUUUUAGUACUAGUAGCACGACGCUUGUAAGUAGAAGUGAUCGACAAGAAUUGAAGAACCAAGCAUUUUAAAACAUUCUGAACAGCACCGAAAUCGAUGGACAAGAAUUCAUAACCACAACGCAAAUUGAGAUACUAAAAUAAGCGCAGUUAAUGGAGAGAAGAACUACACUAGAAAAGAUAGCAAUGACUAAAAUAUAUGACAUCUAGGAAAUUAAUGGCAAAGAAGGAGCUAAAAUAAUAUCAGAAUUAUGCAAACAGCUUGUGCAAUACCACAAGCUAAAAUGCAUGGCUGACCUACAAAUCAGAAUAAAAGAAAAUGAAAUCUAAGUGAUAUACAAUCUUCCAUGUUAUAUUGUUCCACUACUCCAUUCAUAGGCACUCGAUGAUAUCGCUUUUGUGUUCUAAACAUUUAAAUUCUAAAAUUUCACAGGCUAUUAUAAGAGUUAUCCAUAAACAAACAUAUGGGUAAUGAAUUCCUCAAAGUUAUUAGUGACCUGCAUGUCAUUCAGGAAAUUAACUUUGCAACGCAAAAUUUUUAACUUAAAUUACAUUAUGACCAAUUACUUAAAGAAACAGAAUGUCAAAUGUUACGCAGCGUUGGACAGAGAUGUCAAAUAUGAACAGUGGCUGCUUGGUAACGGCCAGAAGACAUUGACCACUUUGACCACUCUGCUUUAAUUUACAAACUCAUAUUCAGUAACAUUCAAGGCAGACUAGGAAGAAUCAAAUGAGAAGGAAUAGCAGGAAAGAAUAAGAAUAAAGGGAUGGAGUAGUGACAGCAGCUUAACUUGCUUUUGGAAAGUAUGACCUAUUUGUUCUUAGCCUAACCUAAAUCAUUCUGAAUUCCAAGCAAUAGCAAUGAUGCUCUCAUUUGAUUUUGUGAACAUGAAAAAUGUCUGGAGGCCUCCCUAAACAUAGGCCAUUUUGAAAUAGGCCCUGCAACUUAUUUCAUUUUGAUUUUCACACUCUGAAUUGGUAAUUGUUUCGAUUUGCGCAAUUUUUCUACAUCAAAUAGAUUUGUUCGAAUUGAUGGGCUCCAUAGGCCAUCAACUGUUAACAGUUAACGAUGUUUGCAGUUUUAAGAUUAAACAAAACCACUUGUAGAUUUAACCGUUAUUCAAGAGAAAAGUUUAGAACUUGCUAAUUCAAUGAAUUAACAAUGCACAACGACAUUGAACAAGCAGUUAUUUCAACCCACCAACAAGUUUGAUGUCAGUGUUGUCCACCAACCACUGUGCGCCAUCUUUCAUGAAGCCAACAUAGCUUGUAUCAAACUCCUUUUUCCACAUAAGCUCUCUGCAGAGAAGCAUAAAUAUUCUAAUUAUAUCUGCUAAAAAUCAUGUAUGCUUCAUUCUAGUUUGUGAUGAAAAAGGAAAUGGAAGAUCCUCUUUGUGAAAAUAUUGGCCGUCAUUAUUAUUUUGGAUUCGAAUUUGGCCUAUAUUUGGAGCUCAAGCACAUUCGAUUUAUAUUAACAUUGAUAUUUCAAGUUUAUGACCCAGAACUUUAAAGAGUAUAAAUUUCCAAUCUUUCCCAUAUUCCAAAGUUACUACUAGGUGGCUUCACAGGAGUUAAAUCAGAAAAUCAAAACAAAAACAGUUGAAAUAUCAUCAAGAAUAGAAAAAUGUUAUUACCUUAGUAAUUGUGUGCGAAGGUUACCAGCUGAACUUGAAUUUGUAUAUACAAUCGAAUUGAAAAAAAAAAAAAAGCAGACAUCAAAAAAAAGAAAUAAAUAUCCACUACCUGUCAGUGUUUAAUGUUCUGAAAAGCACACGGCGAACUCCUUUAGGAAUAUGUAGAGAUUCCAUUACUUCAGCUGUAUAUAGAGGACAUCAUUUAGCAGUUAAACUAAUAAUAGGGUAUUUAGAGUGUAUAUACAGGAAAGAAAAUUAGCCGCCAAGCAAACCAGUUAACGAACGUGUUACAUUGAAAACUUCAUUAGAUGAAUUUUAGAAACUUAAUGAGUGGUCUCCUAUACGUUCACAUUUAAGCAAGGUUUUAAGUGCCCGUCGGCACGGGCCGUAUCCACCGCCCCGUACCGUGCCAACAAGAUACCGGUACGAUACAGACCCCGUACCGAUGAUACAGCUCAAAACCCUCUAUUCUUUAAAUUAGUAAGUAAUUUCCUCAAUAAAGUUCAAAAGAUGUGAUAAAAAGACAUAAUAAAUAGUUAGAACAUUUUGUUGCUAAAGAAAAUAAAUAUAUCAUGCUAUUAUGUGUCGGCACACAAGAAUUUUUUUGACCGGCACGCAUCGAUACGGCUCUGCACGCACAGUGCCGGCAAGUUUCCGGCACGAACCCAUGCCAUGACACUUAAAUCCUUGCAUUUAAGCACAAACAAUCAGUAACAGCAUUUACUAGUGAAUGCACAGAUUCUCUAGUAGCCCAGCCAAGAAGAUGCUUAAAUAGGGCAGGAGCUAAUAGUUUGUUACCUGUUAUAUUUUUAUCUCUUGGGACAUCUACUAACAACGCAGGACCUGCGCAAAGAAUGAUAUAUAUAAAAUAAGUAUCGAUUGCACAAAAAUUAGUGUACAUAAGGUGAGGAGUCAAUAUUAUAGAUCCAAACUCUACAAACAUGAUCCGUGCAUGAUGCACUUCAAUGAAGGAAACAAAAAAUCAUAAAACUACUUGAAAAAAAAUCUUAGAAAGAGCUAAAGAGCAUAAAAUUAAAAACUAGAAUCAAUUGAUAUAUCAUAAACAAUCAAAUGCAGAACACAAAAGACUUACAUAGGCAUCCUAUUAUCCCUCCGAACACAAUAAAGUUGACAGCUAUCCUCAAUUUUUUUUAUUUGGUAGAGUAUCCCAGGAAUAGUAAUUCCAUGAAGAGCGGUGGAAUUGCAAUAUUUUCAAGAAAAGAGUCAUUAUAUCAACAAAGUUUCUUUAUUCUUACCAAACACAAUGGGAAUAAUACUUAGCAUCAAAGUUCUGGAUUGGAAAAUUUCUUGCUACUGCCAAGAUGAAACUUCUCAAACCGAACACUGCCUAACGAAUCAAUUCCAUAACACAUUUCAUGAUAAAAUCCAAAAGCAACACAAACUACAUAUCCCAUCGAAUUAUUUGGUCAUUUCUAUCGCCUUUAUUCUUCAGAUUGUUAUUGAAAAUAUCUUUUUAGCGAGAUGAGUUACAAAGUAACUUUCUCAAUGCCAUAGUUUCUGGGCCCAGCAUCGGAACACUUCUUUUGGCUGGACCAGUUGAUAAUCCAAUAAGAAGGCUCAUCAUUUAUCAAAACAGGCAAUCACAGUUGAUGUCUCUCGCUGAAGUCUAUGAUGCUCGUAGUUUAUGUUUUAUCCGGUCUCAACUCUCUGACAAUUCUAAGCAAUGGAUUUUGUCUCGGUAAAUCAAGGUAGUUUGUACCUGCUGUCUCUAAGGGCAUGUUUGGCCCUGUUGUGGACGGAUGCAGUGUUGUUUGAUAAAGUUUUGCUUAAAUAGGACUAUUAAUAGAAUCAGUAUACUAAAAUUUCCUACAGAUUUUCUCUGCAGAAGAAUCGGGAUCACAUAACUUAAAGCUUUGUGUUUUGGGGCCCUAAAAUUGCAUUUCUGCUUUCCGCCACAGCAAAAGUUCUGGAACUUUUCUACUUUCAAAACACUCUACUAGCUGCAGCUGACAGCAGAAGCACAAGCUAGGCAGCUAGGCCCUUGCUGUAGAGUGUACCGCUCUAAUUUGAAGCUACCUGUCACGGACAAAAUGUUUUCCGCUGACUUCUCCUUGACAGUGGCCCAAUUUCGCUAACGGAGCGGGUCGUUAAAGAGACCCGAACCCAACCCGCUGUGGAGAGAUGAAGAGUGUUGUAACUUCUCCCAUCAAUGAUGGAAGCUCAAGGGUUAUGAAACUCCCAAGAGUUAAUGGGGUGACUCUUGGACUUAUGGCUCAUUAUAAGGGUGAGUUAAUGUGUGAGUUAGUGUAGGCUAGAUUCAAUGUAUCUAGGAGCCUAUAUAUAGUGCGGUUUGGCUAAGGCCAAAACACACAAGAGACAGUGUGUUUGUAUGCUGUAAUUCUCAUUUUCUAAGUAGUGUAGUACUUAGCAUUUUGAGAGAACCUCUGCCUCAUUCUCUUUGUCAUUUCCUUUGCAUACUUAAUCGUAGGACGCGAAGGUCCGGACUAGCAACAGGAACAAAGGCUUGCCCAUUUUCAAACAGGAAGGCCGGCGCCACACGGGCUUUGCGAACAGAAACGCUAAGGCCGUGACAUACUGCUCUAAUUUGAAGCUACAUACCGGUCUAAUUUGAAGCUACCCCAAAAAAAAAAGAAAAAAGAAAAAAAAUUCACAUUUUUGCUUCCCGCCCCUAUCAUAAGUAACUGCAGCAGAAGGUAACGGACGCAGACACUAAAGUCAACACCAAAUUCGAGUCUUUUUCCAGUUCCUAGCGAAUCCUAGUCCUCUCCGAUUCUCCAAAGAAAGAUAACAUGAUAAACUCUCUAAAAGCUUCUCUAAGCGCCAGAAUCAGAAGCUCUGAAGCUCCGAAUUAGAGCUUCUGCAUUUAUAACACCUCAAAAUCAACUUUUUCUGAUUCCCAAACACCCUGUAAUACAUCAGUACAGCUAAAAGCAGAAGCAGAAGCAGGGCUAAACUAACAACUCCGCUUUCUCCCUAACUCACAAACUAGCAAAGAAAAAUAACAUGAGGAGCUCAAACGCCCCAAACAACAUACCAUUGAGCACCUCGAGAUCGAGCGUGUCGACGUCGAACCCGGCCUCGUAGUAAUGCUGGAACACGUGCCCGGGGGCGUCGACGUGGGUGCCCGUGUGAGCGGGGAGCUUCAUCUCGGAGUUGUUGGCGAGGGACCCGUUCGCCAUGGACCCGGCGAGCCAGAGGAAGGGGCCGAGCCCCUCGGGGGACUCCCACGAGGGCAUGUCCUCGCGGAGCGCGUAGGUGAUGUCGAUGAUCCGUCCCCCGUCGUACUCCUCGCGCCGGAUCGGCACCAGAUCGUCGGCGGCGUCUGCGGCGCCGGCGGAGAAGGGGGCGGAGCACGAGGACGACGACGAUGGGUCGGGGUACGCGGGGUGCGCGGAGGAGGAGAGGGAGGAGGGGAUGAGGAGGAGGAGGAGGAGGAGGAGGAGGAGGUAGGGUUUGAGGGGGAUCGCCAUGGGAGUGGUGUGGAGAGGUGAGGUGAGGUGUGGUGUGGUGUGGUGUGGUGUGUAGUUUGACUCUCAACAGAGAAAAGAGAGAGCCAUAACCUUUUAUUUAAGGUUAAAAUGUAUAAACACCCCCUGAAUUAUAGCCGAAUUUGAAAUCAACCCCUAUACUUUUUUAAAGAAAUUUAUGCCCCUCUAUUUACCAAAAAUUUAAUUUACGUACAUUUUUUAGUAAUUUUGAAAAUUCUUCUAGAAUAAAAAAUUCAUUAUAAAAUGCACAGUAAAUAAAAUAUAUUCAUAGCUUAAUAUCGAUCGACAUAUUUUAAUUAUAAUAAACAAACACAGAGCUAAUAAAAGAAUAAAUAUAAGUAGAAAGCUGAAAAAUAUUAAAAUAUAUAAGAAUUUGACCCUCCUCUAAAAUGUUGAAGUUAUUUAUCGGCUUAUCAAAAAAAAAUCAAAUAAAAUGAUAAAUCUGAAAACUUCUGAGCGACGGUCGUAAAUCAAAUUUUCAGUAAGUAGAGGGGGUGUGAAUCAAAUAAAAAUUUAGUGGUCAAUUUUAACCGAGACUAAAGUUUAGAGGGUGCCUAUACGUUUUUAACCUUAUUUAAAUUAAAAUUUAAUAGGUAAAAAAUAGAGAGGAAAUUUUGAAAAGUAAAGAUAAUGAGAGGAUAAGCAAAAUGCACCUAUGAUAUUUUUAUAUUUUCUAACACUAAUUACUUUAUAUUUCUAGUUGAUAUUUGAGAUUUCAAAAUAGGGAAAAAAAUUUGAAAGCGGAGAUAAUCAGUAAAAAAGCGAAAUAUAACGAAGCAAUUUAUAUUUUCUAGUACAAGUUACUUUUUUUUUUUUUUUUUUGAGAGAUAGGUAGCACGCUACCCGCUUCGUUUAUUUCAUUAGAAAUAAACCUUCGCUGGAAAAAGUGAAUCAAUAGAUGUCGAAACUUGGUCUCCGGGUACCAACCACCAAGCCCUUUGUCACUUGCUCUAGGGACGGUUAGUAUUUCUAAUACAAGUUACUAUACAAUUUAUUUGAUAUUUGAAAUUUUAAAAUUUAGCAGCACAUCGUUAUUUUUAUAUGUCUAAUUAAGUUUAUCUUUCAAUAAUGAAUAAAACGAAUAACAUAUUAUUAAAAAAAAAAAAAGAAAAAGAAAAAAGAAACAUUACCAUCGUCAUCACCACAAAUGAGUUUUAUGAGAAUUUGACGAGAUAGAAGGAGAGAGUUUUUCGUAAGUAUACCAAACUGUGUUGGAGAAUUUGAGCAUCUAUAUCUGUAUAUGGGAGAGAAAAAAAAAAAAUUCGGUGGUAUUUUCUCUAAUGACACCUUAUUGAAAAGCUCCCGGAUCUACAUAUUAGUUUUUGAUUCAAUCUUUAAAAAAUUAAUUUGAAUAUUUUUUAUUGAUCAGAAUCCGUUAUCCCGGUAAAAAAUAUAAUCAAAAUUGGAAGCAAUAAAAAAUAAUUAAAUGUUUAGUCUCUAUAACAAAAAAAAAAUUGUAAAAUACAAAAAUCUCCAUCAUUGCCAUAAAAGCAUUAAGCAUUAAAAACAGGCAUGCAGAUGACCCAAAAAAAAAAAAAAAAAACAAAACUCAGAGUUCCUUAAAUUUUUUAACAAAUUAUAGAGUGCUAUUUAAGAAAGAAUUAAAUAUAAGGAUUAAUAUUAUUUUAAUUUUUUAUGCAGGAAAUAUUUGAUAUAUAGUAAUAUAUAUAUAUAUAUAUAUAUAUUAGAACUAGGCUACUAUACUAUCGUAGCACGGAGCGCUUCAUGCUACUAAUUGUUUUUCGAUGAUACGGCUUCAAAAUGCGACGAUUGGCUCCGUUAGACUUGAUCUACACUAUUGAAAAUAUUUAGAAACUAAAUUUCAUAAUUUUUUCGAUAUCAUUUAUCUAUCAAACAAGUAGUCUAAAUUGUACAGCUGAAAAUAAAAUCUCAUGAAAAUGAUGAUAAAAGAUUUAAAUUCAAGAUCAGAUAUACUGAUUUACUCUAAAAAUGAAUAAGAAUUUCUAUAAAAUUUUCAAUCGCAUUUGAAUUGUUUACAAGUACCUUAAACUCAUAAACACACACAUCGGCCAUUAAAAUUGUCAAUUUGAGAAUCUUUUGAUCACUAGUCAAAUGAUGUUAAAAAUCUGAAAUUUAGUUUUCCAAAUACUUUCAAUAGUGUAGAUCAAGUCUAACGGAGUUGAUCGUUGAUUUGGAAGCCCCAUCAUCGAAAACAAUGGUAGCCACGGAGCGGCUCCGUGCUACCGAUAGCAUAGUAGCCCGGACACUCUCUCUCUCUCUCUUCUCCUCGCUUCCUCUCUCUCUCUCAUCUCCACUCUCUCUCUCUCUAUAUAUAUAUAUAUAUCAUAGAGUUUGACUGGACUACUAUCGGUAGUAAACUGCUCGGUUUACUACCGGUUUGUUUUUGAUGAUAGAGCUUCCAAAUCGACGAUCGGCACGUUAAACAUGAUCUAGACCAAUUAAAUUAUACUAGAAAUCAAAUUUUAUGAUUUGUUUUGCAUCUACACUAAACAUCAAAGGGUCCAUCAAAAUCUAUAAUUUUAAUAGGCCGAUAUGGUGCGUGUACUCGUUUAACGUAUAGAAGAGUUAAUCAACGUAAAUUUUUGUUAGAAAAUUCUUUAACCUAUUUAAAAUAAGAUCUAGACUCCAGAUCUCAAAUAUAAAAAUUGUCUCAUCACUUUUGAAGGAUUUUCAUUUCCAGCGCAUUCAUUUUUUUGUUCACUUGAUGGACAAGAGAACAAUAUCCGAAAAAAUGUGUGAAAUUUGAUUUUCUCAGAUAGUUAAAUAGUUUAGAUCAUAUUUAACGGGUGCCGAUCAUCAAUUUUGAAAACUCUAUCAUCGAAAACAAAUCGGUAGUAAAUCGAGCCGUUUACUACCGAUAGUACUCUAGCAAACUCUAUAUAUAUAUAUAUAUAUAUAUAUAAUUAGGAUUAGGGCCUAGAAUACUUGUGAAAGUAUCAUGCGAGGUGAUACUUGUGUGUUUUUAGCCCACUUGGAUGGAGAGAGAUGUGAGGUUGAAGUGAUGAGGUGGUAGGUGCUGGUGGUAAGAUAGUGUUUAAUCCAAGAGGCUAUAAAUAAUCAAAAGUAGAUCCAAUGGCUUUAAAACUCAAAUAGACCAUGAUGGUGAUACUUGUAAAAGUAUCAUAGCUCAACUCAUAUAUAUAUAUAUAUUAUAUAUAUAUAUAUAUAUAAUAUAUCCGGCUGGAUAUUAUCGAUAGAAACCAAGAAUUGUGCUAUCAAGUUUUCAACCGUUAAAUUUAACCCAUUAAUUAUUUUAGCCGUUAAAUUAUACAUACAACCAACCACCCACGUCAAGGCCUAUGGGGCCACAGUUCAUCCUAAUCGAUAUUCGUCAUCCAAGAGCUAAAAACUAAUAGCACCAAUAACUUGGUGCUAUUAAUAAUAUUCCAGCCUAGUUAUAUAUAUAUAUAUAUAUAUAUAUAUAUAUAUAUAUAUAUAGACACACACACACACAAGGGUCCGGUAAAGUACCAAGUACUUGGUGUUUGCAAGUUUUUCAUUGUUAGAUCUAUCCCUUUGACUAAUUCCAUCUCUUAGACAAUACUAUUCCACCAAUCAUUCACUCAACCUAAGGAAUCUCUAUUAUUCUAAUUCUAUAAAUCUCAAAUGCCGAAAACCUACAAGCACUAAUGACUUGGUGCUUUUAAAAGUAUAGGAACUCUAUUAUAUAUACACACACACAAGCUAUAUCUAUUCGAACAUGAGCGAGCUAUCCUCCAGCUCGUGUUCAUUUCGUCAAAAUUUUGAAUUGAAAAAUUCAGCUCGCAUUCGGCUUAUUUAUUAAAUAAGUGAUGAAUCCACAUCGGUUCAAAUACGAGCUAACCGAUCCCAACUUGUGCUCAAGUUAUUAAAAUUGUGAGUUGAAAAUUUUAGCUCAUAUUUGACUUGUUUAUUAAACAAGCGAUUGAUCUCAAACUCACGUUGAAUCGAAUAUAAACUGACCAGCAAAAUGCGAGCUAUCUAGGUUGUCAACCCGAGUUAAAAAUCGCGUAAGUUAAAAAAUAUGUAAUUUAUAAACCUAUUAGCCUUUGAUUUUUAAUUAAUUAAUUAAUUAAUUACAAGGCGGUUGAAACUUGAAACUAGUCACCACCCAAAUCUGACGCCGGCCAGUCAAGAAAAGGAAGACCCGACCCGACCCGACCCGACCCGACAGUCUGCUGUUAGUUAGGAGGACGAAUGCAGGACGCAAGCCCCAAAAUUAUGGCCUGCGCCUGACGUACCAUUACAUUCCAUACACCAGAUUUAAUUAUUAUUGUUUAAUAUUUUGAUGGCUAAAUUAUGCACCAAAAAAAAUUCUAUAAAUAUCCUUUUUUAUUUUUUCUUUUUAACUUUCAAAAAUCUAUAUUUAUUCCUUCAAAAAAUUUUAAAAAUCUAUAUUUCUUCUAAACUUCAAAUAUUACUCAUGUGGUUUCGCACUUUCUCACUUUAGUAUUCUGUGGUUUAAAGUGUAUUAAUUUAGUACUAUGCGGUUUCGUUUCUCUCUUUUUUUCAGUCCCUUCAUUAACUUUUCGUUAAAUCAUAUACAAAAAAUUUCAGAUAUCCUACCUAUAAUUUAUCAAAUAUUCACUUUAGUACCCUUUAGUUUUAAAUUUAUCAUUGAUUUAACGAAAAAAAAUUAGUGAAGGGGAUAACAAAAAGAAAAAAAUAAAAUUACAGGAUACGAAAAUGAUACAUUUUAAACCAUAGGGUGCUAAAGUGAGAAAGUACGAAACCACAAGGGUGGUAUCUGAAGUUUUCUGAAAAGAAAUAUUGGGUAAUAUCAAAUACACCCGUCAAAACACCUUUCAGAACUUUAAAAACAUCUAAUACACCCUUAUGGGGCCAAAAUGUUUUUAUUGAUUUCCAAAAAUUUUUUAAAAUAUAUCCCUAAAUCUUGGGUUUAUAAAUAAAAUUUGAAGUUUAGAAGAAUAGUUUGAGAAUAUAUAGAAUGAUAAAUCCCCUCAAAAAUAAAUGCUUAAAUUUUUAGGAAUCUAUAAUUUAUUAUAUUUUAUAUACUAAAUAACAAAACUUACAAACAGUACAUUCAGUUCCAGCAUUAAUCAAGUAAAAAGUUAGUUGUUGCAUUGAUCAUCAAUUACAUACCACAAAAUAAUUUAGAUGCAAACUUAAUUACUUCAUCUUUAGUUGUAUACAUUUUCAAUUACAAUUAAUGAUAGGGACGUCAAGAGGUUGGAGUGGAGGCUAGUUUUCCAAUACCCGAAUCUGAACUCGAUUUUAAAAAUUUAUAUCCAAAUCUGAACCCGAUAAAAAAAAUCCGAAAUUCGAACUCGAAACAAUUAUUUUUCUCAUAUUUAAAUAUAAUUUUUAAAAUACAAGUUCAAAUACAACAUUAAACAUUCCUACAUAUUAUAUAAUAUACAAUCAAUUCAAGUUCGAGGCAUGCUUGUGUAGAGAUAAAAUUCAUAUUCAAAUUUAGGUUAGCCGGAUUUUUAAUUUUAAUAUCCGUAUUCGAAACGAUAUCCAUUUAGUGUCUGUGAAUCAGGUCGGGUCUGGAUAGUUGGUAUACUGUAUCUGCAUCUUAAAAAAAAAUUGAUAAAAAAAUAUAUAUAUACCCUAUCCAUUUAACUUCGAAUCGGAUUUCGGUCUGGAUACUUAAGUUAAUAAUAUACCCAUCGGGUCUAUUUGAGCGGGUCUAGAUAGUAACUAUCAGUAUACUACCUGCAUGCUUAAGGCCGGGUAUGGAUCGGAUAUGGGUCGAGUCUAGAUCGGGUAUGGAUACCCGUAUGCAUAUAAUUUUAUGUAGACUUUAUUAAACAGUUUAUUAACAAACCUUAAAUAUCUAGUUGCACCCGGUCCAAUAAAAUUCAUUCAAAAAUAGAUUCAAAUAGUAAAAAGCUAGAAUUUAAAAAAUAAAGAUUAAAAUAAAAAAGGAGUAAACAAAGCAACUAGGGUUUUCACUAGGAUAAAAAUAUACAUAAACCCUUCGUCUAUAAGUCGCAUUGAAAUUAAUUCCUCAACUUCAAAUAUUUUUAUUUACUAUCGGGUAUUUGACCAGAUCCAGAUUCUGAGUCCAGAUUUAGAAACUUUUUCAUACCUUACUCACUAAAAGGUUGGGUUCGGAUCAGGUCCAUGCCGGAUAUGGUUAUAAAGCAUCCAGAUCCAUACCCAAAAUUUUAAUGGAUACUUCCUUUUACAUGUGUAGUAUCUAUUUUUAUCCGGUCCGGAUAGGGUCCGGAUCAUAUAUGAAAUAUAGGGUAUUUUGGAUAGCUUUAGAUAAACGCGCCACUUUUGGAUUUACGUGUGAAUAAAAUUUUGAAUAUUCGUACCCAUCGGCAUACCUAUAUACAGUACUUGUGAUGUACUUAUACACCUGGUGUAGGAAACACACACACACACACUCUCACUCUCUCUCAUAAGUCAUAACACCCAUUCCUCUCCACCGCCUCUUUCUCUGACCCUCCAAUGACAACUCUCCUUUUUUCUUUUCUCUCUCCUCUUUUUAUUUAUUUAUUUAUAUAUUAUUAUUUUCUAUCACUACAAUAAUAUUAUUAUUAUUAUUAUUAUUAUUAUUAUUCCUAAUCUUUGUGUUCUCUCCCCUGUUUCCGUCCCUAUUCCAAAUUACUCUUUUUCUCGAUCUAAUGCCACAAUUAUGGAACUCCCCACGAUGUCCCCACCGCCGGUGUUAUUGUUGCGUAGACCCGGUCUAUAGACCGGACCAAUCAAAUGAAAGCAUGAAAAAUUAAAAAUAAUUAUGAUUCAAUGCUGAGAAUAUCUAAUUUGAGCAACUCAAAUUAACAAUUUAAUAGAGAGUUUUAUUUUAUAACUAAUUUAAACUUAGUAUAGGUUUAUCAAUUUUUCACUUAUUUAAAAUUAUGUUAUAUCUAUCUAGUCCGAUGAUAACUCAUUUACUCUGAUUGGCUGUGCAAAAUAAAAUACUCUAUAAAUCAUCUAUUCUUGUAAUUUUGGAUUCUUAUUCUAAUUAAUUCAGAUUAGUAAAUAAGUGAAAAAUUAUAUCUUUCAUAUGAAAAUCCUAACAAACCUCUUAAAUACAUUCCAAUUUAAUUUUAGUUUAAUUAACUGGUAAUGGAUUAUAUUCUAUAGACCGGGUUCAGCUAAAAUUUUCUACCCACCGCCACGGCGAACCCUUUAUAAUUUUCCCGCCUUUUUCGUCCAUUAAUAAUUUAUCACCAUCAUUGUUUGCUCAAAUUACGAAAACACCCCUCACCCCUUCCCUAUAUAAACGCCCCAACCCUCCCCCCUCCUCCAUUACCCCAUCUCUCUCUCUCUCUCUCUCUCUCUCUCUCUCCACUAACCCUAAUUCCCCGAACCACCUCCUCCUCCUCCUCUAAUGGCGCACUCUCACCUCCUUAUCCUCGUCCUCUUCGUCUCGGUCUCCAUCUUCGCCUUCAUCACCGGCGCCGCGGCCUCCGACAUGUCGAUCAUCGCCUACAACACCGCCCAUGGCGUUCGCGGCAUCGGCGUUGAUCGGAGCGAGGAGGAGAUGCGGCAUCUCUACGAGGACUGGCUCUCGAGGCACGGGAAAGCGUACAACGCCCUCGGCGAGAAGGAUCGGCGAUUCGAGAUCUUCAAGGACAACGUGAGGUUCGUCGACGCCCACAACAACGGCGACGAUGCUUCCACCUUCCGAUUAGGGUUGAAUCGGUUCGCCGAUCUCACGAACGAGGAGUUCCGGGCGCUCUACCUCGGGAGGAAGGGGGAGAGGAGGAUGAGAUCGGGGCCGGAGGGUAACGGUAACGUGACCGGGCGUUACCGUUACGUGGAGGGGGAGGAUCUCCCCGCGAGCGUUGAUUGGAGGGGUAACGGCGCCGUCACCGCCGUUAAGGACCAAGGGAGUUGCGGUGAGUUUUGUUUCCUCUCUCUCAUUACACUGCACGUAAUACUUAAAUGAUAGUAUAUUAUAUCUUAAAAAAUCGAAAUAAAAUCUAAUAGUUAUGACCUAAAAUUUUGUUAGGAGUUUAUGUAUAAAGAAAUCCUGAUUUUUCUUCUGAAUGAUUCUCAUUAAUUAGUUCUAAAUAUCAAUAUUUUAUGAUUAUGAUAUGGUGGGAAAAACUUGUAAAUUUUGAUAAUUUAAGCGUUUUAAAUUUGUAAGGCUUUAAUGCUUUUUGUAUUUUAUAUUAUCCUUGCAAAUAAUGACGUAAAUCUAAUCGAUUACCUUUUCUUUUUUUACUUUAAAUAGAGGGAACAAUUUCACCUUUGCUUUCGCACGAAGAAAUGGGUCGUUGUUGUCGCAAUUACUCUUGUGCCCUUCGCGUGAAUUAGGGUUUGAAACACUUUUUCACCUGAUGGUUUUUUUUGGUCUUUAGACGAGGAAAAAGAAAGCUUUUUUCUUCUUUUUUUUUUACUUUUCUGAUUGGCGUGUGAUUUAACGCCGAAUCGCUCGAAACUUUUUCGCUUAUCGAAACCCCCGCCACAAUUUUAUCACCUCCGCUUUUUAAAUUUCGUCGUUUUCCGAAGCUCUCGGAACUUUCGUUAUCAAAUAUUUAAUUAUUAUAACAAUUUUAAAUGAUUUUUCUCUUUUUUCUGUUUUCGUUUUGUCUCUAUAUAGUUUGUCUUUAAAUAAACAAUCACAUAAAUUUAAAAUCAAGUAAUUAGAUGUGUUAACAUUAUGCAAUAAUUCAAGUUCAUAAUAACAAUUAUUCAGAUUCAGACAAUUAUUACGUAAUUAGGCGUAAAUAUUAAUUAUGAAAGCAUUAGUAUUUUAAUGGUAAGACAUCUGAGAGUGCGCUAUGUGUUUUGAGUCUGAGUUAAAGGGGUUCUUGAUAGAAUUAUAGAGCAUCAAACUCCUGAUUCUUAAAAGAAAUGAUAUUAAUUAAAAUUAGAUCUAAUAUAUUUGUUUAUCUUAAACUAGUAAAAAAGAAUACUUUUAAUUUAUCAUCAUAUAUAUAUAUAUAUAUAUAUAUAUAUAUUAAAAUAAAUUAGAUUUAUUGAAUUAGUGUAAUUUGAUUGGAUAUUAUUAAUAUUUAGUUGUAGGGAUAAUUGCCUAUAUACUCCUCAUAUGUUUGAAAAUAUCCGAUUUAUCCAUAUUUUUUUUUUUCUAAAAUAACCCUCAUAUAUUCUACUAUUAUUGCAAAAUACCCCCGCAGUUAUCUUCUGCUAAGUUAACUUAGGUUAAACGUGAGUUAAAUAUCUACCACAGUUAAAAAAAAUUAAAAUGCCAAUUUUGCCCUUAACUUAAGGGUAAAUAAAAAAUGUUGUUGACGGUAGAGGGGUAUAUUGGAAAAGACCAAAAGUCAAAAUAUUUUUUGUUUCCCUGACUUUAAGGGCAAAUAAGAAAGUCAGUGAUGAUGGAGGGGUAUAUUUGAAAGGGCAAAAUAGUAAUUUUACAGAGAUAACAGAGUUAAUUAACAGAUUUAACUCUAGGAGUAUAUUAGAAAUAGGUUGGAACGUAGAAAGAGUAUUUUCAAUACUAGCCUUCUAAGAGGAGUAAAUCGAAAAGUUAGGAACUUUUUAGGGGUAUAUAAGCAAUUGUCCCUAGUUGUAUUAUGUAAGGUGUAUAAAAUUUGUAAUAGCUUUAAAAUAUUACGUGAACUGAGAAAAGAAAAACAUUAGGAUGUUCCUUUUGUAUAAUCAUGUAUUAGAUUCAGUACAUAGUUGCAUCAUUAUCUCUUUAAUUCAAAUAUUAUGAUUAAAAUUGCCGUGAAAUUCAAUGCGAAGUUACAUACCAUGUAUGCACAUUAAUUUCUCUAGUAUGAAUCAUAAAGAUGAAGUAAUUCGGUGUCUAGUGAAACAUAAGGGGUUAAUUGUAAUAAUCUCAAAAAAUCAUAUCGAAUAAUUAUUGCAAGCUUCAGUGAAAAAUGCCAUCAAAAUCAGCUAUCUGUUACAUACCAUGAGUUCUCAUAAUAUGUUUGUGAUUAGUCCCAAAAUAAGAAAAUUAGAACUAUAUUUACUAAUAGAAGGAUUACAUACCAUGAGUUCUCAUAAUAUGUUUGUGAUUAGUCCCAAAAUAAGAAAAUUAGAACUAUAUUUACUAAUAGAAGGAUUGGUGAUGCAGGGAGUUGCUGGGCAUUCUCAACGAUUGGGGCAGUGGAGGGAAUCAACCAGAUCGUGACCGGUGAGCUGAUUUCGCUGUCGGAGCAGGAGCUCGUGGACUGCGACACCAUCGAGAACCAGGGGUGCAAUGGCGGCCUUAUGGACUACGCCUUCGACUUCAUUGUCAAGAACGGUGGCAUUGACACCGAGGCUGACUACCCCUACAAGGCGGUCGAUGGGAAAUGCGACGUGAAUAGGGUAUGUAUUAUCCUUGCAUUCUAUAGUUGUAAUUGGCUUCUUACCAAAUGUAAGGUUGUCAUCUAUCUAUGAGAUCUAUAGGGCUUGUAUUUGUCAAAAGUCAUAGAUUUUUGGGAACCUUUUACUUAUAGUAACAAGCACUAACCUUUUAUCUAUUGUUGAUUUUGGAACCCUUGAUGCCUGCAUAGCUCCAUAGUACCUAUACUGAAAUAUUUCAAAAACUUAGGGAUGUUGAUAUGUAGUUUUUCUACAUCCUGUAGAUCAUGUGUAAUGGUUUAUAUUCCAAUUUGAAUAUCUUUAAGAUUGAUAUUUUAAUGCCGAGAAGGUCCAGUGAAUAAUUUUUGCUUAAGGGCCCUUGUGGCUGGAGUAGCGCUUCUGCAGAAGCACUUGCUGUGUAGAGCAGAUCGACUUUUACGUACUGUUACAUAUACAAGCUUUAAUUAGAACUUUUGCUUUUGGGUCCGUACAGUAAGCUCAUUUUGGCUUCAUACUCUUAAGUAGACGCUUCAGACUUGUUGGUCGCCUCGUCUAGCUUCUGCUUCUCAAGUAGUAAAGCUGCUUCAGAAGCAAAGUUGAACCGGAGCUUAAUCGUAAAAUGAAAAGGAAUCUGUUGUUGGCGAUUGAUGUUCUUAUCAUGAUUUGUAUGUUUUGUGGUUUUUGCAGAAGAAUGCAAAGGUUGUGACGAUCGACGGGUACGAAGAUGUUCCAGCGAACGACGAGAAGGCCCUGCAGAAGGCGGUUGCGCACCAGCCAGUUAGCGUCGCUAUUGAAGCAGGCGGCCGGGCUUUCCAGCUCUACGAGUCGGUGAGGAUCCCCAAUAUUUCAUUCUUAAGAUUGUUUUGUCAUUCUUGAUCAAUUCAAUUGAUGCAACGAAUGAGGAUUUCUGGCCCUCUGGCAAACAUAGUUGGUUGCUUUAGUAAUCUUUGCGACACAUAAGAUCCUAUGAGCAUCCUAUGAGUGCCGAUACUCGUGACUAAUUUGCGUGUUGUGGUGGUGAUAUAUUAUUAUUAGGGAGGUUACUAAUUGCUGUUGAUUGCUAUCAAUAAUGUACAUAGCAAGAGAUUGGUCUAAUCAAAUUGUUUCAUUAACAAUUUGUAAACAGUAUGUCUUUAAGCGAACGUGUAGUUUCCUUGCACUCUUUUCUGUUUCACUACAUUUGCAAAAUUAUCUCAAUUACAAAAUCCGACCGCACAUCAAUAUAUAGUGUGAAUCAUACUCUGUUUGAGAUAUAUUGGAAUGCAUGAAACUCAAUCUCUGCCUCUUCAUCUCAGGGCAUAUUCACCGGCCUAUGCGGGACCGACCUCGACCACGGUGUGGUAGCCGUGGGCUACGGAACGGAGAAGGGGAAGGACUACUGGAUCGUGCGCAACUCGUGGGGACCGAGCUGGGGCGAGGCAGGGUACAUCCGGAUGGAGCGCAACGUGAACGCAGCUGCAGGCAAGUGCGGGAUCGCCAUGGAGUCCUCGUACCCCGUCAAGAAGGGCCAGAACCCCCCCAAGCCCGGCCCGUCCCCUCCCAAGCCCACCCCGUCUCCUCCUCCGGCCCCGGUGGUCCCAACCACCUGCGACAACUUCUACUCGUGCCCCUCGAGCACCACCUGCUGCUGCAUAUACGGGCUCCGAAACUACUGCCUUGCCUGGGGCUGUUGCCCCAUCGAGAGCGCGACGUGCUGCGAGGACCACUACAGCUGCUGCCCCCCGGACUACCCGGUUUGCAAUAUCAAGAGGGGCACCUGCCAAAUGGUAAUAAUUCUCAUGUCCUAUUUCAUUGAGACACUUCUAUUAGCACCAAUGUUUUCAAGCAUGAUCAGAUUGUUGGUAAUCGUCUAUAGAAAUAAAUCCCCUGUUUACGAAAACCGAAAGCACAAUUCUGGUAAAUUUUCAACUGCUCCAUCCAUCUCUUAUCUAGAUCUGAGUAGAAAAUCAUUGCUAGUGUGUUCUACAAGGAUUUAAGUGCCGUCGUAUGGGGUCGUACCUGAACUUGCCGGUACGGUACGGCACGGUGCGUGCCGAGCCGUGCCGAUACGUGCCGGUCAAAAAAAAUUCUUGUGUGUCGACACAUAAUAGCAUGAAAUAUUUAUUUUUUUUAGCAACAAAAUAUUUUAACUAUUUGUUAUGUCUUUUUAUCACAUCUGGCACGGAGUCUGUAUCGUGCUGGUAUCUUAUUGGUACGGUACGACACGGUGGAUACGGUUCGUACUGACGGGCACUUAAAAUCUUGGUGUUCUAUCAACAUCUAAAAGUCGACGAAACCAAAGAGUUUACUAUGUUGUACUAGUAAUAACAUUUUUUCGCGGAUAUUUUCAGAGCAAGGACAAUCCUUUGGGCGUCAGGGCGCUGGCCCGUGCCCCCGCAAAGCCAUUCUGGGCAUACACAGGUGCCGACGAUGACGAGAAAAGCGUGAUUUUGGCUUAGUUGAAUAUGAGGUGAGAAUUGGAGGAGGAUGCUAUUGCUGAAUUCGUCUGCAAAAAUUUCUAUCGUUUAUGAGUUGGAUUCGAAAGAUUUGCUUGAAUUCUAUUCUAGCCUUUUCUUUUCUUUUCUUUACUUUUCAUUUCAUUUCCUUUCUUUAUUUUAGAGCAAAAUCUUGUACAUGGCUCUGAAUUUACCCGUCGGAUUAAUCAAGAACUGCUUUUGAUUUGUCUUAAACUAGCUUCUUUUAGUGAAUGUAAAUAUCUAGUUUAGUAUCUGCUUGUUCUUUUCCUUUCUUUUUUCUUUUUUUUUGUGUGUUAUUUACGCUUUUUUUUUUUUUGCAUUUGGCCCCCUCAAAUUUUUUUUUUACAAAUAGUCCCAUCAAAUUUAUAAUUGCAAAUUUGGUGCUAUUCUCGCCACACAGGCGCCACAUCAGCACCACGUAGGCUGGAGGAGUGUUAACGGUGAAUGAUUUAUCGUAUUCAAUACUUAUUUUCUCUUUAAAUAUAAAUCAAUUAAGAAUUCAAAUAUCAAAUUUACGCAGAAACUUUAAGAGGGAAAAAUAAGGGGCCACUUUUAAACAAUUUCACUAUAUAAAAUUGAAUAAGUGUAAUUCCUCUCUGGUUACUGCUAGUGACAUGAAUUAUGAGCUCCAAACAAAGAGAAAUAUUCGAAAAACAUCCGAGUAAGAUAAUCGGGUUCCUAUCCUCGGUAUGUACCAUUUGGUUGGAGAAUAAAUAUAGAAUAAAGGAGUUUAUCAGAAAUUUAUUCCUGUUAUUCUACCAAACGAUGUGAAAAAUGACUAUUCCUCUCUUAACGGGUUAUUCUAGAAUAACUCGUUAAGAGAGGAGAAUUACUAUUCUUCCCUCUCCAUGGAAUAGAAAAACUUGUUCUUUAUUCUCCCCUUUAAAUAAUAAUUUAUUUAUUAAACUAUGAUAAUUAGUAUAUUAUAUUCUUAACAAAUUAAAUUCUUAAAAUAAUUUUUUCUGUUAAUUAGUUUCUAAUAAUUAUAAAAUAUUGCUAACUAAUAACUAAUUGACUUAUUUAAUUAUUUACUAACCAUUUGAAUUAUUAGAUUAAUGAAUAUUUAAUUACAUACUUGAAGAAAUAAUUGACUAUUUAUAAUCAAUCACUAAUCAAAUGAUAAAUUAAUUAAUAUGUUUAUUCAAAUAAUAACUAAUAUAUAUAAUAAUUAACUAAUAAAUAUUUUAACUUAUCAACGUAAUUUAUUAACUAAAUGUAUAAUUAAGUAAUUAGCUAACGCAUUUAAUUUAUUUCUAAAUAACUAAUUAGAGCCAUAUGAAUAAGUGGAAAAUGCCUAUGAGCCCAAAUGGCUCCCACAUAAUUCAAAAAAAUUGAUCCAAUAAAAUAUCUACAUUUAAAAGAACUAGGCUAAUAUACUAUUAAUAACACCAAGUUAUUAGUGCUACUAAAUUUUUGGCCAUUGGAUUAACAGAUGUACGGUUAGGAUGAUGUGUGCCUCCUAGAGUUAAGUGGGUAAUUGGUUGAAUAGUAUGAUCUAACGGAUGAAAAUGAUCAAAAGGGUAGAUCUAACGGCGAAAAACUUGGUAGCACUAAGUGCUUCGUGCUAUUAAUAGCAUAUUAGCUGGACUCACAUUUAAAAUAUCUAUAUUUUUGCACAUAACUCUUUCACGAGGAGGGACACCACUGUGGAUGAUGUGUUUAUUUGUUGAUCGCCUCAAAAUUUUCUAUCUUAAUUAAUGUAUAUAUUAAUUUUUUUAAAAAAAAAUUGGCACUUAGAUUCUGUGUAAUCUCAUUAGCUUUGGGCCAAAACUGAAUGAGAAUCAAAACAUGCAAUCAAAAUUAUGAAACAUCCAAACUAAUCAUCAGCAUCAGCAUCAUUUUUAGUUGCUGUAUUUUUAAUUUUAUUUGUUGUAUUGUGGUUGUGGCCCAUCUCGUAAGCAACAUCAAUUAUAAUAUAGUAUUUAUUAUACAUUCUAAAACACAAUAAAAUAUUUUUGAGUAAUUAUCAAAAUCAAACGUAAAAAACUCUAAACAUAAAUUCAAUAAUAACAUCUCUUUGAGUCUCCUCCGUUUGGUUGUGUUCGAUUUGAUUUUUUUAAAAAAUAAAAAUAGAAAAAAUCGGAUUAUUCGAAACUUUAAUAAUUUAAUGCAUAUUAUUACUCCUUAAAUUUAAAAAAAGUAUUUGGAUUGAAAAGUUUUAGUGUGUAGAAUUAAUUAUAAUUAUAAAAUAUUUAAAUCAAAUAACAUUUUUUUAUAAAAAUUAAAUAAGUAAACUAAACCAGUCAAAUUAUUUUCUUUCAUUUGAUUUGGUUCGUGCUUUCGCUUUAAUUCGCUUUAAUUCUAUUUUAAAAAAGAACCGUAAAAACAGACCCGCACCAUAUGAUGCUCACCUUAUUUGGAUGUUGGAAUGGGAAUAAAAGUUUCGAUAUGAGAUGAUAACUUAUUUGAUAUUAGAAUUUUCUAGUAUGAUUGAAAAUAAAAAUUUUAUUUUUUAUUUCUUCAAAGAUAUUAUUAUUCAUAAUUUAAUAAAAUAGUAUAUUUUAUAUACGAUACCACAUUUCUUAUUAUUCAAAUGGAUAUAUAUUUUUGAAGUAAAUUAAGAACAUGCGCUAAAUAAGAUAUUUAUGCAUGUAAAUAAGUUUUGCCGCUCUCUCACACGAAGCUAAAAUACAAAAAAAACCUCCAUAAAUAUGCCAUAUUCACUUUUCUCUUUUGACUCUAAAAAAUUUAUAUAUUGUCUGCUUAAAAUUUUACAAAUAUUUUUAAAAAGUUAUGACGUAAAUAAAAAAACCAAAUAAUCAAAUUAUACUUAUUUAUUUUAUAAAAAAUAAAUAAAAAAUAAAUUAUACUUAUUUGUUUUAAUAUAUUUUUGAUAUAAAUUAUAAAAAAUAGACAGAAUAGUGACGAAGACAGAUAAAGCGAGUUAAAUGUAUCAGUUUAAAAUUCGAAAAAACUUCAAAUACCCUCCUGUGGUUUCGCAUUUUCUCACUUUAGUACCCUGUGGUUUAAAGUGUAUCAAAUUAGUACCCUAUGGUUUCGCAUUUUCUCACUUUAAUACUCUUUGGUUUAAAGUGUAUCAAGUUAGUACUUUAGUUUUAUUUUUGUAUCAAGUUAGUACCUUGUGGUUUCAUUUUUCUCUUUUUAUUAUCCAUUUCGAGAUAUUUUUUCAUUAAAUCAGUGAGAAAGUUAAAACUAAAGGGUACUAAAAUAAAUAUUCGAUAAACCUAGGUAUGGUAUCUGAAGUUUUUUAUAUAUAAUUUAACGAAAUAUUAAACCAGAGGGUGCUAAAGUGAGAAAGUGCAAAACCACAUGAUACCAAGUUGAUGCACUUUAAACCACGGGAUACUAAAGUGAGAAAGUGCGAAACCACAUGGUACUAACUUGAUUCACUUUAAACCACAGGGUACUAAAGUGAGAAAAUGCGAAACCAUAAGAGGUGUAUUUGAAGUUUUUCUUAAAAUUAUGACAGUGUGAAAUAUAAAUUUUUAAAAAAUAAAAAAAUAAAAAAUGGGAUAUUUAUUAGACCAAAUUUUCUCUAUUUUACCCCCAAAAGAGAAAGGGUAAAAAAGAAAAGAAAAGAAAAGAAAAGAAAAAAAAAAACUUGUUGCCUUUUUUCUCUUCAACGCCGUUGCCCUCUCGAUCUCUCUCGUUAAGACGUAAACCCAAUCACUCCCCGCCGCGACGAUACCAAAAUUUUUUUUUUUUUAAAAAAAAAACCCUCCCCUCCUCCGCCGCCGCCGCCGCCGCCGACGACGACGACGACGACGACGAUGGUUCAGGCGAAGAGCAAGAAGCCGAAGCCACGGAAGCCGCAGCGCGACGCCGUAAAUCCUCUCUCUCUCUCUCUCUCUCUCUCUCUCUCUCGAUCGAUCGAUCGAUCGAUGGAUCCCACUUCCAUUGUUAGAGAAUCAAGAUUCGUCGGAGAGGAAUAGCUUUCUCAUGGAAUCUAGCUCUUUUUUUUUUUUUUUUUUUUGAUGAUGAUCAUUAGGAGGUUAUUACUUGAAUCUUCUUGAAUCUAUUGCAUGUUGUUUAAGAUGGAUUUAGUGUAAGAAGCAAUGAUUUAUACAUGCUUAUAAUUUGUCUGUUCAAUCUCUUUGAAAUUAUUAAGAUCUUUAUAGGUGAUACUUCCUGAUGGAAUCCAUGGGUAAACUUCAAAUUAUCAAAUUACCCCCCGUGGUUUAGCUCGUUUUUACUUUGCCGCCCUGUGGCUUGCUAAGAAAUGUUAACUUUGCCACUCUAUUUCAUAUAGAAUUUUUUGGUAAAAAUCGUAAAAUAAAAAUUAAACCACGUGGAGGUAAAGUGAAUUUUUUUGAACUAUAGGGUGGCAAAGUGAAAAUAAGCUAAGCCACAAGGAGGGGACUGCGAUUUGAAGUUUACCCUAAAAAAAGAAAAAGAACUUAGCUACAUAGGUGUGACAGUUAGGCCUCGAAGAGACAAAAAAAAGACGGCGAAAGUGGAGUCCCCUAAAAGCACCAACACCACCUGAAACCCUAGUAAGGUGGAAUUAGAAGCUCUACAUCUUACAUCUAAUUAUGCUUUUUCGCAAUCAAUCAACUUUGACCAUCGCAAAUGCGUCCGAAAUAAUCUACCCUUUAGGAAUGCUGAUUGGGUGGGCGAGAUUAUAUUAUGUAAUAGCUAGCUCCUUUCGGAACGAAAUGAUCUUUUGUACCCUGUUUAUGAGGCUAAUAGGUUGAAAGCUGUUGGCUUUGCUUGCAUCUCUGUUCUUCGACAUGAGGCAGAGACAUAUGAAUUAUUUAUAUGUCCAGUAGUCAAACUACCAUUAUAGAGCUCCCAAAAGAUGUUGAAGAUGUCGUCUUUUAUAGCCCAUUUGGUUCACGGUUUAUAAUAUUUCCGUAAUCCCCUGAAAGAAGGGCUAAAGUGUAUACCCUCUUGAGUUGUAUUAAUGAAUAUAUAUAGUACAAGAGAUUGUCUUACUAUAGUAACAAUGACUACUAUAGUAAGAGUAUAACUAGGAUUACAUACUAUAUAAUCCUACUCUAUAGAAGGCAAUGAUACUACUCUAUAUAAGGCAAUAAAACACAAUAUCCUAAUAUAUCGUAACAUCCUAAUAUAGAUAAAAUAUAUCGUAACAUCCCCCACAUUUUCUAUUAAAAAUAUUUAAAUCAUUACUAUUCAAGUUAAGUGGGUAAAUUGUAAAAGAUGUUAGUAAAGUAGUGGAAUCAUUGUAGUUUCCUAGAUGGUAGGAAUGCUAGAUUAUCACGAGUUAAGAUAUAUUCUCAUUUUCAUACUUGAUGGGAAUUAUUAGUAGUCCAUUACUAAUAAUAUACUAGUUCAGUAGUUCUUAACAACGGCUCAACCCUAGUGACUUGAUAAGUUAGUAACAAAUUUGCCAUUCCAAAUAUAAAAUAUAAAACAUUCCAGGAAUAUUACAAACAUUGAAAUAAACGCCCCCUUAUUGCUUCCCAGAAGGUUUGGUAAAACACUAGAUGACAACUAUCGAGGCAAGGUGCUUUGUCCCCUCCCAAUUGGGAGGUGCGCCUCAUAAUCUCAGCCAUAAACAACUCACUCUAGUCCGCUUGCAUGCCAUACUCCUGUCCAGAUGGAGCGAAAGCCUCUUUAAACUCGUCAAAGAAAUAGUCUUGCUUUUUCUCUCUCUGUAUAUUCUUCUGCUGUUUGCAUCAAUCAUAUCAAUUGCGUGGUUCCGUCUUAUACUGUUCGCCGCUGCGUGGAAGAACUUCGUAUUGCCAUCUCCCUCCUGUAAGCAUCUUUGCUCUAUGUUAGAGGCCAAUUCUAGUUAUUCUUCCUUUAUGUCCAAGUUCUGAAUCUCUUCCAUAGUCUCCUUCAUUUUAAAAUAGUGUAGAAAUGUGUGGAGUACCACUUUUUUUGACAAUGCCUAAGCCUCGCUGUGACUUGAAUCUUUGCUGGGCACUUCUUUAUGUCAGAUAGGAACCUUUUGUAUAAAGUCUUCCCUUGUUUACCAUACUUCCGGUUUUCACACUUUGUCGCCGGUCAAAAGUAGAGUAGGGAAAUGAUCCGAAGCGUGGCUGGACCAGCUGAUAUGGAACAUAAGCACUAUAGUUUGUAUGUGCAUUGUACCUACUAUGCCCAUAAGAGUUUGUUAAUGUGGAAUUUGCUAAAAUCAAGGGCACAACAAGGUGAAACUUCAUAGAAAAACACUAGUACGCUACAAUGGGUAGAUUUGCUAUAUCUACCCCUACUUUGUCUCCCAAUUCUCCCAAGUUUUAGUAUCUAAGUUUUGAAUUUGAACUCUGAAAGUUUGGUUAUAUUGUAAAGUGAAUCAGCACUUAUUAGUUUGCGAUAUUUAGAGUGUUUUGGCUAGAAUAAGUAAACUUGAUGAUUUCAUGGCUCAUGAAACUUUUUUUUUUAAUCCUUCCAUGCACGUUGUAGGAUCAGCUUAUCUCUAUUUCAAUACUAACUGCUAUUAUAUUGCUAUAUAUAUACCCUUUAUUGGCUAAUAAGGGUAAAUAUUCUGUGUGGUACAUAGGUAAAGAAGCAUGGGAAGGAUGCUAAUAUGACAGAAUUUUGUGCUCAAUUGGACACCCUAGGGUUAAAGAUAAUUCAAGUGACAGCGGAUGGAAAUUGUUUCUUUAGGUUUGUAGAGAAAAUUUUACUUUUCUUAUUUUGUUCAUCAUCGGAAUGGAUAUGUUACUACUGUACCAAUGAAUGUAAAUGGAACCCAUAACAUGCAUUAGAACAUGUUUUAUUUAAUCCUUUCUUCAAGUUUCUAUGUAUUCUGUGAGUACUCAAGGUAGCUUGCAGGGCUUUAGCUGACCAGCUAGAGGGCAAUGAAGAAGAACACCAAAAGUACCGUGCUAUGGUUGUACAAUACAUUGUGGUAUGUAUGUACAUCAUUGUAAAUCACAUGGAAAUUGAUUCAGCUACCUUUAGAUUGAUAUCAUGUGCAUAAUCUAGUUACCAAAUACACCCAAUCGUACACUUUUCUUAAUUUUAUGCAAUCAAGAUUAAUAAUGAACUUUGAAUAUGUUAACUUAUCCUUAUAAUAAAGUUGAGUUGUUGAAUUUUUCUUUCUUUUUUUCUUCCCUUUGCCAAAUUUUGUUUGUUAUACUGUCGUAGCUAAAAAUGUUUAGUAAAUGCUAAGUGGGAGUAUUACAUUUUCCUAAGAUUUUACUCAACAGUUUGUUCUAAAUGAUAAAGAAAAUCUAAUUCCUCUAGUUUUCAUGUUUAUAGAACCACAGAGAAGAUUUUGAGCCAUUCAUUGAGGAUGAUGUUCCAUUUGCUGAAUAUUGCGAGUCCAUGGAGAAAGAUGGUACAUGGGCUGGCAACAUGGAAUUGCAAGCGGCUUCUCUUGUUACUAGAAGAAACAUUUGUAUUCAUCGGGCAAGUUCAUAUCUUUUUUAAUCAUGUUUAUAGCUAUUACAACUUGAGGAAAAUCUUGACUGUUGUUGAUUGGUAUAAAGUUUAAAAUCGCUAGUAAUUUUUUGAUUGGUAUAAAGUUUAAAAUCGCUAGUAAUUUUGUCCUCUUUUAAGCUUUUGAAAUAUGAACUAUAAGAUCAUUUUCUUUCCUUUCCCAGUACUUAUGUUUAUUUUGAGUAUAUUCGAUACCCGAGUCUUUUUUAGAUAAUUUAUCUCCCACUAACACUUAUUCAACUAGUCUAGUUAGAUCAUGCCAAAAGUCCUCCUGAUUUGGUCUUAAGUUGCACCGAUAAUAUUCUUCUUCUAGUUGCUUUUUGUUCACUAUGCUGUCUCCUAUUAAUUUUUCUUAUACAACUUUUUGUUUAACAUUUGGAUUUGUUUUGUUUUCCAAGCACUAGAUAUAUUGUCUUUUGUUUUCAGUUUGCCAGAUUUUUAUACUUUUGCUCCAUUUCAUCUGAGGAAUCAUGUAAUUCUUUGAUGUUUGUAAUAAUUAUCAUGAGAUUCUAUCUUUCAAGUUAGCGAUCGGUCUGUUUUGUUUGAAUAGAGGAGUUCAAAGAAGCAUUAAUGGCCUUUUCAUUUAAAUUAUCCCAACAGCAUCCUGUUGCAAUAUAAGCAAAAGCUACAAAUUAGAACUUCUACUGGGAUACAUAAGCUCAUUUCACUUUCCUUGGAAAAAGGCUCCUACAUUUUUGUAUAUCAAAUGCUUGGUUGUAGCUUUUUGAAGUAGAGAAGUUAUUUGAGAAGCUAGGCCAAACUGGUACUUAGCCACACGCAUCCUUAAUAUUUUGGAGACCUUUUAUCUUUUGAUCUUGUAAUCUUUUUUAUUUUUAAUUUUUUCCUAUUAUCAGCCAUUUUGCUUUACAUGGGUGCCGUGGCUUGUUUAGAAUGAUCUCUUGUUAUGUUUUACAUCUGUUUUAGUAAUUUAAGCUUCUUUUGAUUGAGUGGUCAUAAAUAUGUUUGAAUGCAGCUUAACUCUCCACGUUGGUACAUAAACAAUUUUAGCGGUCGUGAUGGUAGUAUGAUUCAUUUGUAAGUUUUUUAUCCUUGACUUUUGUUAUGCUCUAGUUUCCACCGAUCAAUGGGGUGAGUUAUGAAAAUACUUUUUAAAUGAUAUUUCUGAUACUCAAGGGUUUUAACUUUUAUAUUUCAUGUUCUUAAUGAAGUAUGAAACAUGUUCCAUUUCUCAGUUUCCAUUUGACGUUUGGUCCGUAAGCAAAAUGUAACAAGUUGGCAGUUUGUGGUUAACUUUUAGUGGCCGUGGAUGGAAAAUUUUCCAAAUAAUAAAGAAAAAGGAAAAAAUGCUUUAAAAACUAGGGAAAAUUGGGGGGAAAAAAGGAAACCUAAGGCGCCAUUUGGUAUUUUGUUUGUUUUUUAUUUUUUUAAAAUGACAUUUCUACAUAGAAAACUGCAGGUGUUGACAGUGGAUUGUUUGCAAUCCCUUUAUCCUAGAUGUUUAUUUGACAACAAAAAAUAAGAACUUGAAAACAACUUUUUUUUCGCUUCCAAGUUUUUUUUUUUAUUUAUUUUUAUUUUUUAAAGUUGUCAUCAUAUAUCACUUGGUCAGGGUACAUUGCAAACUAAUUAAUCAUGACAAUAAGAGGAAAAUCCUUUUUUCAAUACAUCAACUUAUAUAAAAUUAGUGUUUUAAAAAAUAAAAACAUGACAAUGAUGCCAAACGAGGCCUAAGUAUAAAAAUUAAUUUGGUAGAUAAAGUUGUAAUAAUGCUUUAUAUCUGUCUAUUGUCAUUCAAUGGCUUGUAACAUCUUUCUAUUCCCAUUCAAUAGUUUUAAAUUCUGUUGUGAUAUUUAUGUACUAUUGCCAUAGUUCUGGGUUUUGUUUGUGAAGGAGUCUUAUUAUUGCGUCUUGUGAUAGAUCAUUCUCAUUGAGAUGCUUUCUUGAGAAUGAUUUGAUGCAAGAUGUUUUUAGUUGCCAACAUUGGAAUUAUUUAUAGUCCUAUAUUCGCGAUGAAAUAAAACCAGGGUAGACUGAUUUAUUAUAUUGAUUAAUGCAGAUCUUACCAUUACGAUGAACAUUACAAUAGUGUUCGGCUGAAGGAAGAUUCUUGUCAAGGACCUGCUUUGCCGAUUAAUAUUAAGGUUUUCUACUUCAAGUUUUGAAUUCUGAUAUACUUAUUUUCACCACGUCCAUGAGAGUUGUACCGACUAACAUACUCUGACAAAGGAUUAGUAAUUUAAUCCAUGAAUGUAGCAAUUAAAUCCUUCCUAUAGUAUACUGUCUGGAAAAAGACUCCAUAUCAGAAUCAUGUUAUACAUGACGUUCUUUGAGGUUGGUCCUGGUCGCAGGUAAUGCUGACUUUGUGUUCUUCUAUUGAUCAAUUAAUUGGAGGGCUUAAUUGUUACGUGGAACAAAUUUCAGGGCUUAAAUUGCUAACAUUCGAUCUCUUUUGGACAACUGAAAUUGUGAUCAUACUUCAGGGACUAAAUUUGUAAUUAACUCUUCAAUGAAAUUGCCCGAUCUGAUAUUACUACCACUCCCAUGUAGGCUGAUGCAAAUAUUUCUAGAGCAACACAUAACCCUAAUAUUGAAUCGAAAAGAUCCUUUCAUAAAUCUCCCUGGGAUGUGGGCUCAGUUAAGCUGGUUGUGGCCGGAACAGGCUGUAAUAACAUUGACAAAGUUGAGCAGGUAAGAUUUUCUUUCAGGUUAAUGAAGUACUUGGGAAAUUAAUAGGUAAAAAGCAAUUCUACAUGAAAUUAAAUUAUCGGUCAUGUUGUAUAAAUAGGUUUUACGAGAAGUAGAUGGCGAUGUUGAUACUGCAAUUGAGUUUUUGAUUGCUGACCAGCAGGCAUCAGAUGGAAAUGACACUGAAGACAAAUCGUCUAAGGACAUCAAUCAUCAUGGUAACGCUUUACAUGUCUUGUGGUUUGUACAGAUAUUCUAUCAUCUUCGAAGUGUUAUGGUUUCCACAAAGUUUUAUUCUGUCGAAUGACGCCGGCCUCCACUCAAAUACUUGAUGGCAAAGAAAUAUCUAUUUUUUUUAUUGUUAUUAUUGUCAAAUGAAUGACUUACCCUUAAUUUUUCUCGUUGCAUUGUCAAUAUUAUAUAAUUAAUAAUAGUAAUCAAGAAUUAAAGUGCCCAUCGGCUCGGUCCGACGUAUCGUGCCAGUAAGAUAUUGGCACGAUACAGCCCCCGUGCUGUUAGCACAACUCAAAACCUUCUAUUUUUGAAAUUAUUAAGUAAUUUUCUCAAUAAAAUUUAAAAGAUUUGAUAAAAGUACAUAAUAAAUAAUUGACAUAUUUUUUGCUGCUAAAGAAAAUAAAUAUUUCAUGGCAUUACGUAUCGGCACACAUAUAUUUUUUGUGAUCGACAUGCAUCAGCACGGCCUGGCACGGACCGUGCCCUACCGUGCCGGUUAAGUUCCCGGCACGAUCUCGUGCCGUGGCACUUAAAUCCUUGAUAGUAAUAAUGAUAAUUUAUUUAUUUUUUUUAUUGUUGUGAUUGGUGAUUUAAUCUUUUCGUCCUUAAGUUGCAUGUAUUUGGUAACACAUGAUGUAUCCUCUAUGUUCUCUUAUCUCCGUUUUAUUUUCCAACCUAUAAUGUUGCUUGAACUGCUUGUCAGACCUUUUAUACUGUUUUAUAUAUUAAGCAUCUAGCGCAUAUAAGUUAGGCGGGCUUACUUCUUUUCUAACUUUUCCUAAAUGAGGCACCUUUCUCUAAUUCAAUUUAGUCUAAAAGAGAUCCUAUUCUUUUGAUGUAACAGUCCAUUCUAUAUAUUCGUAGAACUUAGUAUUUUCCUCAUAUAUGAGCAACCAAAAUUUUGUAACUACUUCCUAGAGGAUGAGUAUUUCGUCAACUUUCUUUUUCUUUUUCCUUUUUUUCCCUUUUCCCUUUGUUUUCUUUUUGGGGUUGAAGUGGGUUGUCCGAGUGAAAGCUCUUACUUUGCAAACAAACUAUGCUUCCUACAAUCAGCAAAUUGACAGAGAACAUGUCUGCACUCUAAAGAAAGGAACUAAAAAUUUAUUGAUGGCGUAAACUAAAUUGUCCUCUUCCAUAGAUGUAUUCGCAGUAUUACAUAAGUCACCUACUAAUUAUAAGUCGAGACCGUGAAUAUCUAUAUGGAAACAGAUAAAUAUUUUCAGUUCUCUCCAAUUUCCAUUAUCCUGCGAGUAAGUACCAUUACUAAAUUUUUCGUGGUCCUCACUCCUAUCAUCCCAGUAGACGAUGAUAAGGAGAAUUGCGAUCAACUGGAGGUGGAAAUAGUGGAGACAAAUAGCGAAAAAGGUGCAUCUACUAAUAAGGUAUUUACCAUGGCAGCAAGUAGAAAUCUUUCUUUUUUAAGUCAAUUUUGGACUUUUGUUUAGUAUUUUCUUUUUCUUUUUCUUGUGAAGAAAUUACCGAGAACUAGAGCAUGCUCUUGUGGAUCAACAAAGAAGAACAAGGCUUGUUGCGGUUCAACCACGACAAAAUCAUCUGCAGCACCUGUAAUGUAUUCUCCAUUUCUUCUUUCUGUUGAGAUGCUUUGAUCAGAGAUUGAAUACUUGUUUAUUUGUGUAUAGGGUAAAUCUUGUGCCGCAUUUCCACAUAGGUGACUUGUUGUUUCUUUUGCAUCAAUUAGGUGCCUUUUGUACCAGUCAGUCUCGUUAAAGUUGAUUAACGGUUGGGUUUUUAUCUAUUUAACGGGUUUCGAUUUUUGUUCGAGUCAGAUUUUGACCUAAACCUAGAAUGACUCAUUUAUUUUACCUAUAAAAUGGCCUUGUGCAAGUGCAUGACUGCAUGUACAAACGACAAGAUUUUUGGCAUAUGUUGCAGAUAAUAGGAUAUUACGAUGAAUUGCUUUAAAUUGAGACUAAUGGGAAGUAAGAAGUGAAAUUCUAUCUAACAUAAUUAUAUAUUAAAGUACUUUUAAAUAUUUGAAUACAAAAUAUUGAGAGACUUAACUUGCUAUUUCCUUUGCCAAACAUGUUCCCAGUAAAAGCAAAGGAGCUGCGAGUAAAGGGAAGAAAGGAAAGAUACAAAGUAAGAAAAAAGAAACAACAGGUGAAGAACCGCUUCAUCGAUCCGCACUGCUACCAGAUAUGGGAGCUCUUUGCAUUUAAUCAGUAGAUUCAAGGUAUUAUUUAAAAAACAAUUAAAUAUGCAAAAGGACAUCAAAGUUUUCUUUUUCCUUUUUCUUUUUUUAGCGGACUUGCUAAUUGAUUGUUCUGUAAGUGACUCAGGCACUUUUUGUUGGUU